UUGGCUUCACCUACAAUGAAAAUCUCAUAAUUAUCUUCUCUGUGCGUCUUCACACUUAAUGUAAAUUGUUUUUUAAAACACAAACUCGAAUUUCUUCCCUAAGUCGAGCUCCUGUGGAUUUGUCUAUUUUCAUAGCUUGCACCAUAUUUUGAUACCACUUAUUAGGGAUCAUGACAUCUUUGAUACCAUUUGUUACGCAAAAAAAUCUCAAAUCUAAUCACACCAAUGGAAGUAAAAUCAAACGAUCAAUCAACCACACAAAAUACAACAAUAUAACAUAGUUCGGCUUAACUGACUUACGUCCAAGGAUGAGAAAAAAGAUCUACUAGUUGUAGAGAAUUAUAAACAUAUAAUCCAUAUUAAGCACUCACAAUUAAUACUCAUAAAUCCUCUCAAUCUCCUUUAAUCUUAUGUAGUAUUCUCAACCCAAAUAAACACAUACCUAUAUGCAUACCUAUAUAGACCUUUUUAGUCUCCUUUAGUCCACUCAUAAACAUUCAAUAAUAUACACCCAUAAUAUGUAAAUUCCCAAUACUAUGGGGUAUCUAUCCCAUAAAACUCUAAACUAUUUUAUAUCUUUUUCUUAUACCUAAUUAUGUAAAUAUUUCAUCUAUUUAUAAGCAUACAAAAUUACCUAUUAAAUAUUUUCUUUCUUUAAAAUUUUUUUUUUCUACAAGCCUUUUCAUCCAUCAAAUAAUAUUUAAUUAAUUUUAAAUAAAUCUAUUAUAAAUUUUGAGUUACUAUUUCUAACAAAAAAUUCAUGUUCUUAUCAAUAAUUAUAAACCUGUUUGUGAGUCACUUAUCUAGGUUUAGUACAUUAAUAAAGUUUGGCACCAUAAAUCUCCUUUUCUUCCUUAUAAUCUUUACCAAAGAGCUAUUUCUAGAGUUGGGGUUGAUUUUGUUGACAAAAAUGUACUUCCUUUCCUUCUUUUUACUACUUUUUUUAAGUAUAAGUUUCUUUGAUUUAGUCAAACUGACUUUGAAUUUUGGAGGGGUUUUUCUUUAUAUAUGAUAUAUAAAAAUAUAAACAGUAAUUGUUAAGCAAAGUGCUAGUAUGAUAGACUGAUUUGAUUUGAGAUACUUUGUGUUUCAUUUUUUUUUUUUUUGGUAAUUUUGAUAAUUAGAUGCCUAAUCAAGUCAAGUUAUGGUGAAUAAUAUUUUUUUGGUAUAAUCGAUAUUGAAUCAAGCAAUGAGAGAUAACAUUCAUUCAUUUUCAUAAAUCUCAUCUCACUUGUAUCAAAAUAUACCAAGUUAAAAACUUAGAGCUUUACUCAAUUAAUUUUUUAUCUCUUUUCCCAUCUUAGAUUGGGAUUUUUUUACCAAAAAAAAAAAAAUCCAAAUCUCUAAAAUAAAAUCGUAAACUCUAAUCAUAGAGAUGUUUCCUUGGCGAGAAUUCUAUCUAGCUUGCUCGAGCUUCAUUCAGGUCAACUUCUUAUUUACGCAAUCUAUAGCUUGGUUAAGAACUUGAAAAUGAUUAAUUUGUUUUUAUUAAUCAUUUUAUCUAAUUAACACAAUUGAUUUAGAAAGUUUGUUGCUAUUGGUUUAAAAUAUUAAGCUCAUUCGGAAAUAAGUCAACUAAUGUGAUAACUUUCUAAAUGAUAUUGAUUAAUUGGCUCACUAUUUUCAAACCUUUUCUAGUUGUGAUAUUGUUUAUCUUGUCACUAUCGAAAAUUGGAUCUGAUAACAGUGAUGAUAGUUGAUUGAGACUGGAGACUGCAUAUAAAUAGUUUGUAUUCCUCCAAUCUUCAAUGGAGACAGGAGGAAAUGAUUAAUUAUUGAUUACCUUGACCAUUUAGCACUUUGUUGUUUUUUUUUUUAAAUUCUUAGGACUCUUAGGAUUUUAAUCCUGAUUAUCUGGAUGUUGUGCCUAAAUUAUUGUUUAAUAAAAAUGCAGGUAUAUGAUCUUGGGAGGAAAAUAUGGGCAACCAAGGGAGAAGAACAGGCAAAUGCAAAAAAAGAAUUUCUUGAGAGCCUGAAGCUAUUGGAAGGAGAGCUUGAAAACAAGCCUUACUUUGGUGGACAAAAUCUUGGUUAGUAGAUAUUGUUUUUGUCCCAUUUUAUAGCUGGUUUUAUGCCUAUGAGAAGUGUGGCAAAUUCAGCAUCGAAGCAGAGUGCCCCAAACUGAUUGCAUGGGCUAAAAGGUGUAUGGAAAAGGAAGGUGUAUCCAAGUCUCUUCCUGAUCAAGAAAAAGUUUACGGCUUUGUUUUGCAGUUGAAAAGACUCUUUGAAACUGAGUGAAAUUGUGGAUCCAACUACUUCUAAUUACCAUGUUUUAUGGUUGGUUUGAAUAAAUGGGCAUUUAGUUGUGGCUAGUUGUUUUGUGUUGUUCGGGUGAAUGGAUUUUUUUUUUUUUCUGUUGUGAAAGAUAGUUAGAGCACUUAGAUGAGCUGGUGUGAUAUAUUUCAUAUAUAAGUAUGUUUUACCUGCUGUUCAUUGUGCACAUGUUCUUUGUGUAAUUUGAGUGCUUUUCUCAACUUGGCUAUCCAUGUUGACCACAAAAAAUUUUGGCCUACUUUGACAAGAACAUCAAUGAAUUAUCAUUGAUGUCAUUUUUUUUUAUUGUACUUAAGAAUGUUUUCCUAAUUUUAACUAAAAAAAUUGCAGGUCAUCAUUUUUGUAAAUUUGUUUAAUGCAUACUUAAUUAAAUUUUAGAGGGGAUGAAAUCAAAAUAAUUUUCAAUCGAUGUCUAAUUAAAGGUUUUUCAAAAAGUUUACAUCUUGGGUUUUUUUGUAAUAUUUUUAACAUCAAUACUGAUGUAAUCAUUAUAUCAGUGCAUUAAAUAAUAAAUAAUACGAGAAUCUUAUACGACUCUGAUUAUAAAUGAAACUAUACAGCAUUUUCAGAUUUUCAGGUUCAACUUCUGAAAAUACUUUGUUUUUUGUAAGAUAAUGGUUUAAACUAUGUUCUAAGGAUUCCACUAGUCUGAGAGAUUGCAUUUUCUGCGUAGUUUCUUUUCCGAGCUACCAAAACUUUCACAUCUUUCUUAUAAAUUACUGUCCGCAUUAAUUGUAUAUAUUUUUAAUUUUAGAUUCAAAUUAUUGAAUAACAUAUUAUAUCAGUAAUUUACAAAGAAAUAAGUAAUUUUAGAUUCAAAAUGUUGAAUAUGAGAAUAUAUAUUAAUAUUAUUAUAUCAAUACCAAGAAAUAAGUAAUAAAAUUAACAUAAAUAUUAUAACCCAAGUUGUAAGUUACGGGGUCUUGCAAUAACUGUACCAUUUCAUAAAAAAUUAAUAAUGCAUCCUUUCCUGUCAUAUUUUUUUUUAUAAAUAUUAUUUUAUUUUAAUUCAAAAUUGUACACAUGGGAUGGAUCGGGCUUGAACCUUACACCUGAGUCAGUUGUCAGCGUCUUUCAUAGGCUAGCAUGGCAAAAGUCCAACCAAUGCAACAUCAACGUUCAAACGGGCUUUUUCUCACCAAUAUAAGACAGCUACGCAUACUCUCCCCCCACUCCCAACAAAAAAUAUCGUAUAUAUAUAUAUAUAUAUAUAUAUGAACAAGAAAUGGGUUAUCAUUCAACUAUCAUGAAAGUAAGUGUUAACAAAUAUACACGAACGUUUGAAGAGCUACUGACAAAUCCAUUUGACAUUACAAGAAAAUAGCAUAUUAACGGUAGUUUUGUAACGGAUUUUCAUUUACAAACAUUACUAAUUUUCGUAUUUUUAUAAAAUUUAAGGUGUUUAUUAUCAAAACGUCACUAAAUAUUCAAAUAGCGACGUUAUUACUUAUAAACGUCACUAAAAACAAAAACUAACGGUAUUUAUCAACUAAAACGCAUUAAAUAAUUUUUUCGAAAAAAUUAGAGUGAUUAUUAAAGGCAUUUUUAUGCAGAAAACGUAUUAAAUAAUCAUCUCAUAAAAAAUAGAAGCAAUUAUUGAAGGUAUUUUCUACUGAAAAUACAUUCAAUAAUUUCCCUAAAAAUUGUAAAAAAUUAUUAAAGGUAUUUUUUGACAAAAAACGCCUUUAAGAAUCUUUUUUCAUUUUUUAUAAGGGGAGUUUCAUUUUUUAUAAGAGGAUUAUUAAAGGUGUUUUGUACAAAAAACGCCUUUAAUAAUCCUCUCUAAUUUUUUAUAAGGGAUUAUUGAAGGCGUUUAGGCAAAAAACACCUUGAAUAAUCUGCUCAUAAAAAAUAAAAGUGAUUAUUGAAGGUGUUUCUAUAAAAAAAAGCCUUCAAUAAUUUUCUUAAAAAAUUAUAGAAGAUUAUUAAAGGCGUUUUUAGUUAAGAACGCCUUCAAUAAAUCUCUUUGUUGAUAAAUUUAUUAAAAAUGGAAUAGCAUUGUUGGUUGAGUAUAAAGUCAUUAACUAUAAGUUUGUAGGUUCGAUUCUUUUCUAUAGUAUUUUAUGGAUUUUUUAAGGGAUUAUUGAAGGCGUUUCUGGCUAGAAACGCCUUUAAUAAUCUUUCAAAAAACUUAAAAAAUGCUGAAGAGACGAAUUGAACUUACAACCUUAUGACUAACAACCAUAUGUUCUAAUUGAUAAUGCUACUCCAUUUUUGACAGAUUAAUUGACAAAAAGAUUUAUUGAAGGCGUUUUUGGUCAAAAACACCUUCAAUAAUCGUUUCUAUUUUUUAUGAGCAGAUUAUUCAAGGCGUUUUUUGCUUGAACGCCUUCAAUAAUCUCUUAUAAAAAAUUGCAAGAGAUUAUUGAAGGCGUUUUAUGCAUAAAACACCUUCAAUAAUCCCCUCAUAACAAAUUAAGGCGUUUUUGCAUAAGUGGUGUUUUAUGCAUAAAACACCUUCAAUAAUCCCCUUAUUGAAGGCGUUUUUUAGUCAAAAAAUGAUAGGCCUAAAAUUUUUUUCCAAAAUUUAAACCCUUUCUUUCUUCUUUGUAAUUUCCUUUCUUUCCCCAGCUUUUUUCUUGAAAAAAAAUGGUGAAAAAGAAAAUUCAAAUCAAGAAGAUUGACAACGUAGUAACGGGGCAAGUGACUUUCUGAAAGAGGAGAUAAGGACUUUUCAAGAAAGUUCAUAAGCUUUCCACUCUUUGCGAUGCUGAGAUAGCUCUUCUAAUCUUUUCACCACUGGAAAAGUGCUUUGAGUACUCCAACACAAGGUUGCUCUCACUUAUCUCAUAUCUACAUGUGAAUGCUUUGCCUUGAUUCCUGCUCUAUCUCUGCUGGUUUAAUAUAGAAAUCUUUGCAUGCUGUUUGAUUUAAUGCGUUGAAUGUAUUUGGGUGAGUGUGAGAGGAAGUGAGAAACGUAAUUAUUUUGAAAGAAAAUCUUUUAAAUCAAGAGAACUGUAUAAAAGUAUAAAUUCAUGAUAACUGAAUGUACUUGAAUAUUGUAUUCUAUUACAAAAAGAACUUCUUUUAAUAAUUUAUCAGAAGUUGAGGGGUUUUGGGGUGGGAUGCCAUGGUUUCACAUGAAUAUCUUUAUGAUAUUUGUUGAUGCUUAUUCGUACUUUCCUGAACCUUGUUUAAGCCAUAUUUUAUGACUAAUCAGCUGUCUUAUAAGAAGUUUAUUCUUUCCAUAUAUCUUUCCUGGUGCAACUUAGAGCACAAACUGAUAUUUUACCUUUCAUUUUGCUUAUUAGAACUUGAUCUGCUGUCAUUUUCAUUUUCUCUCCAAUCAAAUAGCUUUUAAUUUCAGUUUUCUUAAUUAAAUCUUGUUAGUACACGCUUUUUGAAUGUUCUUUAAGAUUUUCAUAAUGAAAUUUACAAAUUCUCAUGAUUUCCUUUUCAAAUUCUGUAAAUUUCACGUUGAACUCAAAUAUGGUUUCAAAAUCGCACACUUGACCUAUCUUCAGUCUUUUGAUCAAAAUUUAGUGAAUUCUACCUUGAUUUAUUUAAAAUUUUUUUCCUAGAUUCCUAGUUCAUGAGGCUAUAAUCCAUUAAAAAUUCAGCCUUAAAUUCCAUCUGUACAUGUACAGUUAAAUCUUCAAAUUUAAGGCUGAAUCCAAAAGGCAGAAAUGAUCCAUGCAUGAGAACUUGAUGAAUGAUGAUCCUCUCUCCUUCUAGUUAUUCAAUUUGAUUCUCUCAUACCUUACAUUCUUAAUUUUACAUGUUUACUCAUUAUUUUUUAAUUGAUUGCAUUUAUUUUCAUGCAUUCAUUUGGUGUUUGGAUGGAUUUAGUUGUUAAUGCUCUAUUUUUCUUUGUUUUAAGUAUCACUUCAGUUACUAGUUCAUUAAGCUGGUUUUUCUCUAUUUUGCUGCCAUUUUCUUGUUGAAUUUUAUAGCAAACUUGAUUGAUGAAUUGUAGUAGUUGAAAGGUGCAUACUGUAGACCUAUUAACUUGGAUUGGUCCUUUAUACUUUUUCCAAUUACUUUCUAAUUAUUCCAUGAUACAGUUUUUGCUGCUGCUAAGUCUAAAAAAGCAUUGAUCUCUAUAGACACAGUUGUACCAUCAGUUCAAGGUACAACAUAGUUAAUUUAUCCAUUACACAAUUUGUAUUUCCCUCUUAAAACUCUGUUACGUGGUCAUUUUAUUUUGAAACAUUGGUUUAUUUCCCUCUUGAAGCAUUUGAAUCCAUUUAUUUCUAUGAAUUUAUUUACGAGCUGAAAAUAUGAUUUGAAAUAGUUUAUCUAAUAAACUUCAUGGAAUAAAAUAAUCUUUAUCUUUUUCCACUGCAAUCAAACAUGAACUUGAUUGAAAAUCUAUCUCUUAGCCUUUCAUAUAUUCUCCUUCCCUCAAAUUAUAUGGCACUGCAUUUCAAGUCUAGCAAUUUCAUAAUGAUAUAUGCAAAGUGGAAGAACUAUGAUUAUGAAAGGCAUUUUCAUUCAAUGCACUCAGAGAAUGAGUGUACAUCCUUUUGCCUUGUGUAUUUAUCUUAAUCAUUGGCCAAAAAAUAUAUCUUAGUUUGUUGCUUUGGUUAAAUCUGUUUCUUUGUUAUUUCUGCAUGUAUGUAGCAAUGAAAUCUUGUAUAUCUUUCUUGAUUUUAUCUUGCAUUACAAAUUUUAUGGUACUUUUUAUAGCUUACCCAAUGACAUUUUUCAAUCAGGAUGGAACAUGAAGUUCUGGCGAAGAUAAAUGAAAUGUACUAUGAUGCCUUUCUAUCACCACAUUUUGAGGUUCCUGAAAAAAUGUUCUCUUUAGCAAUGAAAGCCAAAAGGAGGAAUGGGUGUUGUAGGCUCCAUUCAAAGCAAGUGCGACUCUUUCCAUGGAGUCCGUUAUGGGCAAGAGGAAAACAAAUGCAAAGUGGAAUGUUAUUGUAUGUAUUAAAUUUUGUGUUACAUGUAUAUUGGAACAAAUUAUAUAUUUAGAUAUUUAAUAUUUAUAAUAUUCAGUUUAUGAAUUUAAAUUCAUUUUAAUUUCUUUUAACAAUUUUUAUUUAAUUAUAAUAAAUAUUAAAAGAAAAUUAAAAAAAUAAAAUUUUUUAUUUAGCGGUAUUUGUAUUUAAAAAUGCCAUUAAAUACUGAAUUUAGUGACGUUUGUAUUAGAAAACACCAUUAAAUUUAGUGGCGUUUUUACUACAAAUGUCACUAUUUUUAAUAUUUAGCGGUAUUUUAAAACACAAACGCCGUUAAAUUAGCAGCAUUUUUUUAUACAAACUCCACCAAUUUAACGGUAUUUUUAUGAUAAAAACGUCACUAAAUUAACGGCGUCUCAAAGAUACAAAUGCCACUAAUAUAGCGAUAUUUUUUCAGAUCAAGCGUUGUUAAUAUAACAACGUUUUCCAGAUACAAACGCCACUAAUAUGCAUUAUAUGAGCUCUACACCCAGGUUUCAUCUCUCUUACGAGGGUAUAAAGUACCUACAUUCUCAUGAAAUGAUAUUCUCUACAAUGGCUAGUAAAAUACUCUUUCUCAAAUUGAAUCUUUUCCAUUGGUAGCCUUUGUUGGACAAGGAUUUGGGGGCUUUACUAGUUUGUGAUAGACAUUGAUAUAAGGAACAAUUUGGAAACCUAUAGAGUCAAUCCCAAACCACAUGUAGUGAACUGUAAUGGACUUAACCAUAGGUAGAUUCAGGUCCUUAUGUAGAAAUGAUCCAAAAUUAGGUCAUAUACUUUUGUUACAUGUGAUUUGUGCACUAAGAUGUUUAUCUUUUUCUUUUUUCAUAUUGAAUGCUAACUCUAUUUUUAUUUGUUACUUUCUGUUUGCAAGAGUCAUAUUUAGGUUCAUAGUUAUUUUAUUUAUUUAUUUGUUUAUUUGUUUGAUUAUCUAUUUUCAUUCAUUUUGAUACAUCUCAUUCAUUCAUAAAGCAUCAUCAUUCAUGUAAUGCAUCUAUCAUAAUAUUGCAUAAUACAUAAAUCUUUUGUUUUAUCAGGGGUAGCAAUUUAAAAGAAAUGGGUGAUUAAUUAAAAGCGCGAAUCUAGGUGUUAGAACUCAUCCAAGAAAAAUUGAGGCAUAAUCUAUAAAAAGUGAAAAUAAACUUACCAAGCUAGUGGAAAGGGUUUAAAAUCUUGAAACGGUCCAUUCUCACAUGUCCUUAUCAAUUCAUGUGUACAUUAAGCAACCAAUUUUCCAAGAUCAAAAAGUCUCUUACAAUACUGAUGCUAGUCCAAGUCAUGUUAGUGCAUCUGAUGACCUAAUAAAAGAUUAAGUAAGAAAAGAGAUAAGGCUUUCUAACUUUGUGCCAACCCCACAGAUUGGCUCAUACCCAAAUCUUUAUCCUUAACCUCAACAACCCUUUUUGGUACCUUAAACAAAACGUGCUUCCAUUCAACCUCCACAGAUUGACCCAAACCUAUACUAUAGCCCAAUUAUGAAUAAUGUUUAUUAGCCUAUCUAGUAAUCAAAAUUUUCAAUGAAACCUUAGCCCUAUAUACCCAUUUCAACUCUAAGACCCACACCCAUAAGUCCACUAAUGGCUCAACCUAAGAAAUCAUUGAGUAAGAAGAAAAUGAAAGCCAUCAUUAAUCGAAUUCCUAUGAACUACAGUGACCUAUUCGCAUUACUUCUCUAAAACCAUUUGAUCAUACUAGUUCCUUUAAAGCCAUUAAAACUUUCUUAUCCUAAGUGAUAUGAUGCUGAGGCUCAGUGUGAUUAUCACUUUAAAAAUACUGGCCAUCGAUAGAAAAUUGCCUUGCCUUCAAACAUAAGGUGCAAUAUUUGAUUAAAAUUAACUUGUUGAGUUUUAAGAAAAAUGAAAAGCCUGAGAUUGUUGAGAGGUCAUUGCCUAAUCAAAAUAAUUGAAGAACUUAUUCAUGGUAGUACCAUGAUAUUGAAGUUGUAUAUAGGACCAGGUAAUAGAGUUUAGGAAUUCUUUUAGGAAUGUUUGGAUGUUUUGUUAGAAUAAUUUUUUGAUUUUUAAUUAAAGAUUUCUUUUUAUCUCUUUCGUAUUAUGUGAUAGCACUAAAUGCAUCCAUUCAUUCAUAUAAAUAUUUUCUAUUUGCACAAAUUUAUAGUUAGAUAUCAUCCUAAUUCAAUAAUUGUGGUAGUAAAGUUCAAAAGUCUUAUUGUCAAGGUAAUCUAUUUGCCACCUAUAGAGCUAAAAUAAUAUAGCCGAAUUGAAAAAAUGGAGAAAGCUUAAGAUGUAAUAAGAGAAGAUCUGUCGUAGAUAGUGAAAAUUCUAAAAAAUUUGAAAAAAGUGAAAGACGCUUGCAUACAAUUAUCUUAAAAUGCACAAUCAUAGCAAGCACCACCUUUUGGGACAUACUUUUAGCCUGAAAUACCUGGAAUAAUUACACCAAUUUUAGUUCUUGAUGAUCUUGAAAAGCUAGAAAAAUUAAAGGUAAGUUCAUUUGAAACAAUAACAAAUCUAAGUUCUCAAAAGAAGAUGGAUCUCAUACAGGAAAUGCUUCGAGCUAUUAAAAAAAUAUAUUUUUAUGGAUCUAUGGACGCAUUGAAACUUUGCUUGGUAUUAGAUGCUAUUAUUCUGUCCAAGUUUAGGGUCCUAAAAUUUGAAAAAUAUGAUGGGAUUAAAUGCCCAGCGACGCAUGUCACUAUGUAUUGUAGAAAAAUGGUUGCCCAUACUCGUGAUGAUAAGCUCUUGAUUUAUAUAUUCCAUAAUAGUAUUAAAAAGUCUACUAUUAAGUGGUAUGAUCAGUUGAAUAGAAUUCAUAUCACUUUAUAGAAAUAAUCGUCAUGGCAUUUUUAACCCAAUACAAGCACAUUAUGGAGUUGGUUCCAGAUCAGUUGUCUCUAUAAAGCAUAGAGAAGAAAAAUGUUGAAAGCUUCAGAGAAUAUGCUCAAAGGUGGAAGGAUGUUGCUGCUCAAAUUCAACCACCAUUAACGAAAAAAAAACUACAGUUUUGUUUGUCAACACUCUUAAAGAUCCAUAUUAUGAUAGGAUGAUAAAAAAUGCAACUAAGAAUUUUGCUGACAUGGUUAUAUCUAGGGAAAUAAUAGAGAAUGCCCCUAAAAAAGUGAAAAACUUAAGGAGAAUGAUACAAGUAGUAUAAAUGAAGUUGGUAUACCAAGAACGAAAAGAAAAGAUAUUCAAGUUGUGAUUUAUGAAGGAAAAUAGGUUGAAAACUUUACCCUAUACCAUCCUUACCAACCUCGCUACCCUGCCAUAAUAACCUUGCUUAAAAUCCUAUUUACCAGCCUUAUCCCUAAUCUACUGCCCAACCAUUGUAAAGUAAAAAAAGGUUAAGAAACAUUCUCGAGAAAAUCUCAAUUCUAAUUUUUUAUUUUUAGUCUCUGUUGGUAAAUUAUUAAUACCUCACCUCAAUACCUUUGAAAGUAAUUUCGAAUUCAUCAGUGAAGAGUUAUGAUCAAAACAGUAAAAGUGAUUAUCAUAAAAAGGUAAUUGGGCAUUCGAUUGAGAAGUGUAGGUAGUUGAAAAAGAAGAUUGGAAGUCUCAUUCAUAAUGGCACCUUGACCCAAGAGCUUUUUGAGCAAAGGAAAUAUGCUUUAUCAUAGGUUGAUUUUUCUCUAUUUUGGAUGUCUUGAACAUGGAUUGCGAGAAAAUUUUAGAAGUUUGUAAUAAGUUUUUCUUUUUUUUUCAAUUUUAAUUGUUUGGAUUCCUGCAUAAUUAAUUUUUUCAAAGCAUGUGAAAAAAUUUCAAAAAAUUGGUGACUGUUGUUAAAAAUGAGCAUCAUAAGCCAUUUCCUUAAACAUUUCAUUCUUUUCAACUGGAAAACUAAGAAAGUUAAGAAUAUUUAGGGAUGAAAGCUUCGGAACAUCACCUUAUUAACCAUGAUGAAUCUUAAAAAUUAUUGAUCUUUAUUUAAGCUAUAAGCAAUGAGAUGGUUGAUUAAUUUGUAAAUCUUUUAGGGCACCCUUCUAAAGUUUUUUGGAUUUUUGUGAUUUAAUAAAUGUCAAGGUUAUUUUAAAUGCUUCACCAUCAAAAUUCUCCCGUAAAUCCCAAACUUUUAUAUUUUCUCAUGUUGUUUAGUGCAACAUUUUUUUCCUUGACCAAGUAAUCUUUCGACCUUAUCUUAAGACAAACUUAUUAAAAAAGUCAACUUUACUUGAUGUCUUAAAUAACCCUUUUUGACAAUUUUGACCGAUGAACAUCCUAAUGGAUUGCGAAAAGGAAAAUUGUUAUGUUUCGUUUCACUUGAGUAAAAAGUUAAAAAAAUGUAUUAUGAGUAUGAGUUGCAGAAAAAAAUAUAAAGGAAGAAAAAGAAAAGAUAUGAUUGUGACAUUAUGCAUCUAAAAUCAAUGAGAAAAAAGUCAUCUCCUGAUAAUUACUUUUCAAUUGAAGUAUGCAUACUUGAAAUGAAAUAGGGCCAUUUUUCAAAUUUUCUUCACAAAAAAAAAAAUCCUUUUGUAACCUGUUUCUGUUGAUUUUUCUUUUUGAACCCUAAACUAAGAAUCAUCCUCUAAAUUUGAGGGCAUGUUCAAAAAUGAGGAUCUCAUCAAGGGGGCAUUUGAACAUAAUUUGAACUUUAUGUUGAAAGGCUAAGAAAUAAGGCUUUAUGUUAAGGAGGGAAGUUUGAAAUAAACAGAGUUCCAAGUUUUUUAGCUCAUGCAAAAAAAAAAAAAAAUAGGGAAAAUGAUGAAACGACAUUCUUGGUUCAAAUACCCUUGAACAUGUAUAUUGGGCUUAUUUAUCCUUUCUUUUAAAACCUCAAACCCCCUCCUGUGUUACAUACUUUAAAAAGUCAAUUUUAAUUAUGUAUAGAUACCUAAGUUGAAAGGCUUGUUCUUUAGGAAAAUCAUCAAUUUGGUUUUAAAUGAAUUUUGAGUGCUCAAAUGAAUAGUGGAAUAAUCAUAAAAAAUAAAAAAAAGAAUAAAGCUCUAGGGUGAAAACCCAAAAGGGUAGUCUAGAUUAAGAGUGAAAUUUGAAAACAAUUCAUAAAACUUAUUAAUGUAAAAUGCAUUAGGUAAAGCCAUUUUUGAAUGAACCUUGAUGCAUUGAAGAUUUUAAUCAACCCUAUUUUGAUGAAUUGUUCUUAAAUCUGAACCUUUUCUUUAUUUCCCAAAGCUUAGAGCCUUGCAUGACUAGUCUUGGCAUUUAUUAAAUUCCCAUAUAUCAAGAACUUAAAAGAGUGCCAAAAUAGAUUAUACUUUAAAAUAUCAUUUUCAUUUGUGAAUCUAAAUGAAGAGACAUUGAUAUUCCUUUUCUUGUUCAGUGGUUAACCCUUUGAUAACUAAAGUCAUGGUGUGCCAAACCAUUACCUCUCUUUUGGAAAACCAAGUUAUGAUUCAUCAUAUUUAUUCUAAACAGUACUCACCAAUUUUUAAAAGAUAUGGUCACUUGUGAAAUAUUGUAUUAGAGUGGGGCAAUGUCCAUUACUAUUAGUGAAAAUUUUAGGAAAUAUUCAAAAAGUUCUUUUGAAUCUCAAUGCUGAUUGUGGGAAAUAGAUAAAUACUAUGAUGAAAAAGAUGUUUACAAGGCAAGUAGAAAUGCCAAUUGAAGGGACAUAUAGUGAAAAAGACUUAUAGAUAGGAAAAAUGAUUUUUAAAAAUGACGAUGCUUGAGCCAAGAAAAUGUGAGAAUGUUUGCUUUGAAAGAACUUGUCACUUUAUUUUGAAGGUAUAUGGUGGAAAGUUGGAAGGAAUGUUUCAAGAAUUAUGGUAUCACAAUUAAGGACAUAUGGUAUUGAUUUCAUGAAUUGCAUUCAUUGCAUACCUUUUAAUACAUUAUAUGUAUCACAUUAUUUAUUCUAUUGCACUUAUUGCAUACUUUCAGCCAAUGGGAAAGAUAGAAGCUCAAGUUUGAAACUUUGGUUGAGAAAAGAAAACUUUGCAAGAUAAGAUUUUUUUUAUUAGGUCAAAAACCUUUGAUGAUGAUUUUUUUUAUUAGGUUAAAAACCUUUGAUGAUGGCAUCAAAUGAAGUUUUAUUUCAGAGUAUUUUGUUAAAACUUCCAAGUAUCAAUUUUGAAAAUUUUUGGGUAGUACUUCUUAAAACCUCUGGAUACAUCUUAUAAGCUUUAGAAUACUCUUCUCGAAGUUCUCUGGGCACGAUUUAUAAGACUUCUAGGCAUAAUUUUCAAAUCCUUCAGGUAUGAUUUGCAAGACUUCCGAGUAUGAUCUUUUUAAAGCCUUUAGGUAUCUUUUUAAAAUUUUAAGUUAUAAAGCUUUUGUGUGAAAUGAGCUUUUCAAAUUUUGAUUUAUAAGAUCUCUGGACUUAAUAUUCAAGUUCUUUGGACAAGAUUCAUAAGUUUUUCUAGCUAAAUCUGUUUUAAAGUCGAGAUUUGUAAGAUCUUUGGGUGUAAUCUUCAAGUCUUCCAAGCAAUAUUUGUAAAUCUUUUGAGUUGAAUUUGUUUUAGAAUUAAAAUUUGUAAGACUCCCGGGCAUAAUCUUCUAAUUCUUCUAACAUAAUCAAUAAGACCUCUAGAUGUGAUCGUCAAAACCUUUAGGUGUUGUCCUUUAUUUUUAAAAUUGUUAUACAUUUAUUAUGAAAAAGCUUUUAUUUUUAUAAGUUGUUAUGCUUUUAUUAUAGAGGAGCCUUUAUUUUUAAAAGUUGUGCACUUUUAUUUUCAAAGAGUUUGUCAUAAAAAUAAAAAAAACAAAAAAACAAAAAAAAGGGUGAAUAAUUUAGACAUGGAUGUAAUAGAUUAUUUAUAUCUUUAUAUAAUUAUUGUUACAUAAAAAAUGUACAAAGAGGGGUAAUUAUGACAUUCAAUUUAGUCCGAGCUUAAAUUAAUUAGGCUUAAUUUAAUUUUAGACCCAAAAGCCCAAAUUAGUUGGACUCAGACCCAUUUCAUGACCAAUUGCUGAAUUUCUUUUAUUUUUAAUUUUUAAUUUUACUUUUAUUGUAUUUAUUUAGGUACAUAUUUAUCUUAUUUAUUUUUAUUUGUGUUAAAUUUUUAUUUUUAUUGUGGUUUAUCUUUAAUUUCAUUUUUUUUGAAUAUUUAUCUUUUUAUAUUAUUAGUUUUUAUUUUAUAAUGUUUAUUUAUUAUCUUUCACUUAUUUAUUUAUUUAUUGAUAUGGUUAUUUAAGAAAAGGGAUAAUGAAAAAAUGUUGGAUGGGCGGAUGUUGAUAAUAUGGAGAUAAGUUUGUUAUUAUCAUUAUUUAAACUUGUGAAGAUAAAUUUUAUUUUUAAAAGAUAAUUCUAGUUUUUUGACUUGGAGUUCAUCUGAAAUUCUUAUUGAGUCCUAUAAAUAGGACUUGUGGGAGGAGUGCAAUAACACAACAAUCAACAGCAAAUUAGAGAAACACAAAAUGAGACAAUCGAGCAACACAGAAAUCAGGGAGAGAAACACAAAGGAAAUAAAAAAAAAAAAACACGCAUUCUGUUUGGCUUAGCUCCUAGUUGCCGAUUACCACUUUUUCCACCUAAACCAAUUUUCCUCAACCUCUUGCAAUCACCACCACACAUAACCCACAAUCCAAAUUGCCAUAAUCCACACACGAUGACAGAUUUGGGUCGUGUAAUCUUUGGGAUCUAGGGUUCAUUGAAUUAAUGUUAGAUAAUUGAAGAGAAAAUAGCUCUCGGUUGAUUAAAGACAGCGUUGAAAAAAGUGGGUAUUUUGGUUUUUUUGGAUUUUUGAGUAUUGGAGAUUCGAACUGGUGAGGAGGGAUCGAGUUUCGACCUUUGAGGCACCAGGAUACUGGAACCAUUGCUUGGAAGAGUUUUUGAUUUCUUUCAUAUCGUAAGAGCUUUAGUUUAGGAAAAGAAGAAGAAAAAAAUUUAUUAUUAAGGAAUUCAAGCUCUACAACAGUGUUGCUGGUCAGAAAUGGCGAGGUAGUAUGGUUGGUGGCAACGUCUCGUGUGUCAAACAAACAGAGGAAGAAAGUAAAAGAGAUAAUGGAAGCUAUUGAGGUUGUCAAUAGCUGUAGUUUAGUGGUCAAUUGUUCUGGUCUUGUAAAGAAAGGUAAAGGCAGGUGCCGUUUGAAGAAAGAACAGAAAGGGAAGGAAAAUUUCUUCAAUUUAUAACCCAAAAGGCAACCUUCUAGUUUGAAGUGAAUUUCGGCUUUAGGUUUGACAACUUUUAAUCCAAGCCUAGCACCUAGCCUAAGCCUAAAUGGUGAAAAAAAAUAGAUAUAUUUACAAUAAAAUAAAACUUAAUAAUAAAAAUCAAUGAUUAGGCAUUUUACUCAACGACAUAAUUUUUUUAAAAAAUGAAUGAUAUUCUUAAAUACUUUUGAAGUAAAAAAAUAAUUUUAAGAAUUUUAUUAGAUUAAUGAAAAAUCUUAAAAGUUAUUUUCAAUAUUUAAUAGUAAAAUUUAAUAAAAGACCAUUAGGACUAUAGAUUUUUAGGAUAAUUUAAAAUUAAAUGGUACCAUUUUUUAAUUGUAAGGAUACUAUAACAUUCACCAUACGUAAUUAAAUGCUUGAGCCUUAUUGUAAAACAUAAACCAAAAUUUAUUUUUUUAGGAAUCCUUAGUUAAGCAUAGGAUAUCUUUAAAAAGAUAGAUAGAUUCACCUAGGUAACUAAUCGCACUUAAAUAAAACAGAUUGAUGGUGACUUUUUAGGUUGUGUCUAGUGAUAAAUUCAUGGAUAUAUACAUUAUAAGAACAAAAAUCUUUAAUUUCUAAGAAUUAAUCAUUGUUAACCAAACAAAGUGAUUUCAAAUUAUAAGUGCUAAGAUCACUUUAAUAAUUACAUUACCAUGGUGAUCUUACAAAAGAUAUAAAAUGCUACUUAUGUGUAAGCAUUUUGAUGGUAUGUGAUGCCCGUAUGGAUUAAAAACUUGCCUGGAUUAUAACCAAUAUUUCACAUGGCUGAUGGAUACAUUCAUGCAAUAAAAUAUCUGCUUGAGAUCCAAUUUAUUGCAAGCUAUAACAUACCACCUGACACCUUGUGUGUAAUUUCAUUUUUUUUUCUAAGUAUGACUAACUCUUCUAUAUAUAAUUAACAAAAAGACCAGUCAGUGCUGUUUGUAAUUCUGCUAUUUCCUUUGUGCAUAUAAUCACAUUGCUUAAAAUUUCAAAAUGUAGGUACCAGAUGGAAUAUUUUCUUUUUUUAGUUUUAAAGAUCAUAUUACUAGUUGAUUAUUAGUGUAGGGGUCCUUUAUAGCUUCAUUUCUUUUAUUAUCACAUGAAAACCUACCAGUAUAGUGGCUAUAAGGUGUCAAUAAAUUACCUAAAUCCUAUCGAGUCACAAUCUUAUGAACUUGCAUUAUCCUCACUUGAAAUGUGUAGAUACUUCAUUUUAUCCAAAAAUUUUUUCGAGAUCAAAAAUGAGUUUUUGACCAUUAAUUGGGCCCAAUUAUGAAAAUUUGAAACUAAUAAUUUUUUUUUAAUUUUAUGUUUGAAUUUUUUUUGGUUUAAUGUUAGUUUCUGUUAUUUUUUUUUUAAAGUAAAAAAAGUCAAAAGUCUUAUUUAAAAAAAAGGAAAUAAAAAAAAUGAAAAAAACAAAAAUUUUGUUAAAAAGGAAAGCCACGGAAUUUGAUUUUGGGAAUCAUGCAAAAUCAAGUCCCAAAAUUAAUUCAUAGAAAAAUCAAACCAAAUUGAAUCACAUUCAAUUCAAAUUGGGUUGAUUUAUUUUUAAGAUUUAAAGUGAUUAAAUCCCUAUAAAGAAUGAUACGUAGAAACCAUUUAAAGGGAAAUUGAGUUUUGCCUUUGGUAGUUUUUGGAAUUGCGAAUUUCCAGAUUUUUAUUUUCAAGGUUUUUUGGGAUCAGUUUCGAUUUCUUUUUUUUUUUUUUGGGAGUCAAAAAGCUUUUUAGGAAGUUUUGGGUUUUUUGGACUUUUUUUUUUUUAAGUUGCUUUGGGUUUUGAUUUGGUUUUAAACUUGGCUUUUUAAUUGAUUCAGGCUUGUGAUUUGAAUUUAUGAGGAAAUUCUGAUUUUUUUAGGUUUAGAUUGGAUAUUUGGGUUCUUUUGGAGAUUUUUCUAGGUUUUUUGAAAAAAAAAAAAGCUUUUCUGGGUUGGGUACGAAGAUUCCAUUGAAUUUUUUGAGUUUCCAAUAAAGCUCACAAUGGCUGAAGGAUUUUUACGGUGGCCACUUUUUGGGUUUAUCUGAUUUUUUGGAAAGGUUUGAACAUUCUAGCUGCCAGUUGAAUUUCUUGAAGUCGAAAUUUAGGAAUUUGGGUUGUUGGAUGAAUUUUUCAUUUGAAUGUUAGAGAGAGGUCAAAGGAAAAUUUUGUAGAAAGAGAAAGAACCAAGGCCAUACGAGAAAAAUUAAAAAUUUUUUAUUUUUAUAGCAGUACCAAAAAGGCACCACUUUGGAGAAGACCCUCUGACCUGCCUGAACCCGUAGAGAUCCACGCGUAACUCGAUUUUGAUCCGACCUAUAGCGUAGGUUUUCCCUUUUUUUUGUUGAUUUUUUUUGCUUUGAUUUUCUUAAUUUAUUUUUCUAUUUUGUUUUUUUUAUAUAUUAUUUUUAUUUUUAUAUUUUAAUAUUUAUUAUGAUUUUUUGAAUUAAUGUGGUGAGAAAAGAAAAAAGAAAAAAUAGUUUUAUUUUUGCAUGAUGCUUUUUUUUAUAUAUAAUUUCAUGUUUUCAUAUUUAUUAUGUGAUCUAUUAAAUACAUUUUGUAUAACUGUAUGAUUAUAUUUAAUUGCAUGAUAAUUAAUAUUAUUGCAUGAUAUAUUAUAUUAUUAUUGCAUGAUAUUAUUUACAUUAUAAUUUUUCUUUAUUUUAAUUGAUUUUUAAAUUAAAAAAAAGUUUUUCAAAAACAUUUUUUUUCAAUCCUACCAAACUAUUAAAAGAUUUAAAUAUUAAAUUAAGUCGUACCAAACUUUGGAGGAUUUAAUGAAUUUAAAAAUAUAUAUUUAAAAUCUUACCAACAUAUUGAAGGAUAAUUUUUGAUGGAAAUCUUACCAACAUAUUAAAAGAUAUUUUUGAGAAUAAAUUAUUUUCACAAAUAAAAAUUUUUUUAUAACAAAAAAAUUAAAUGAAUCCAACAACGGAGCCUCUUCAAAAUAAGUCAUUAGUCUUCAUAAAUACUUUUGAGGUAAGAAAAUUAUCUUAAAUUACUACCAAACUAUUAGAGUAAUUUUAAGAUCAAUUUUCAAUAAUUAAAUUAUUUGAUAAAAUUACAAAGAGACUUUAUGGUUUGGAUAAUUUGAAAUCAAACUAGUACCAUACUUUAGAUGGGUGUUGUGAAGGUCUUAUAAUCUUUCUCAUAAAUAACCGUACUCUUAAACUUAAAAUCUAGUUUUGUAGACUAGAAUCUAUCUUUUAAAGAUAUAUAAAUCCAGUUUGAGACUCCUUUUUAAAAUAAGACAGAUUCAGUUAGUUGGCUAAUCACACCUAAAUAUAAAAGAUUGGUGGAAACUCCUAAAGUCUAUGUCUAACGAUAGAUCCAUAGAUCUAUAUAUUAUAAUAGUUUGGUGACUCCGCUGGAGGCAUCGAAAAUCAAGCCAAUAAAUGAUUUCUUAUUAUCGAAGCCUAACCUAAUAAAUUUAAAAUUUUUUUCUUGUUUGUAUUUUAUUUAUUUUUUUAUUUUAUAUAUCUGUUAUUCAUUUGCACAUGUAUAACAUGAGCUUUACAUCUGAGUUCUGUUCCUUAUGAGGGAGUAAAGUACUUACACCUUAGUGAGAUUUCAUGUCUCCGUAUGGACUGGCAAAAACUUUCACUCAAAAUGAACCCUUUUCGCUUGUAACUUAUAAUGGGUGAGGAUUGGGAUGCCUUAUUAGUCUAUAAUGGAUAAUGAUAUAAGGAACAAUUUAGUAACCCUUAGAUUAUCAAACCUUUGAACCAGCAUAAAAUAAACCCUAAAUAUCUAAACCUAAGUUAGAGCUAUGUAUUUCCUUGUGUUAGAAAAUCCUAAUUAGGACACAUGCAGGGACAUUUAUUAUACUUGUAAAUUUAUAUAUUAUUUGUAUAUACUAACCUUUUACAUUGUUUUUUUGUAUAUAUUAUUUUUUUUUGUAUAUAUCAUGUUUACUAACCCUUUUCUUUUAUUGUAUAUGUAUGCAUUCACAUCAUAAAAUCUUUUUUAUUGCAUUCAUGCAUUUCUACAUUCAAUCUCAUGCAUAAUUGGAUGGUUCCAUAAACAUCACUUUAAAUUUGGACCAUAAUUGUGAAAAAUCAAGAUUCAAAGAUAGCUCAACACUAGUAUAACAUCCAGACCCAAGCUAGAAGAAUGAAAUAAGAUAAUCAAGCCAUGUUGAGAAAUUAGAAAAAGCCUAAGAGGAGAUUAAGAAAGAGUUGAGCAAAAUCUUUAAGGCAAUAGGCAAGUUGAAUAAAGGCAAGGUCGUAGAAGAAGAUGUUUGACAUGAUGUUACUAAUUCUUUAUAUCCUCCAAGUUAUGGCUUGUAUCAAGCCCAAUCCACUCCAAGCUUUCUAUCAUGAUAGUUAGUAUUUUCGAUAGGCUAUACUUAUUUAAGAAUGCCAUUUACACGCAACCAUGGGAAUGUUUAAACCUACAACAACCUUAUCUUUGCUAAAAAAGUAGUUAAAUUGGUUCGAGUUCCUAGUAUAGACGUCUUAAAAGAUAAAUUGAAAAUGGUUGAGGCUUUGGAAGACACAAAACAUAAAUAGAAGAUGAACCUGUUGAACGAGAGAUUACAAGUCGUUAAGGGCAUAGACUUUUAUGGCUUAUAGAUGUUGCUAGGAUUUACUUGGUUCUGGAUGUUGUGAUUCUUUCAAAAUUUAAAAUGCCUGAGUUUAAAAAAUAUGAUGGUACAAAAUGUUUUAUCACACAUACUGCCAUGUAUUAUCAAAAUAUGAUUGCUUACACCUAUGAUGAAAAGCUAUUGAUGCAUACAUUCCAAGACAACUUUACUGGCUCAGUUACAAUGUGGUAUGUUCAACUAGAUCGAACUUGCAUAUGCCUUUAGAAUGAGCUCACUUGGACAUUUAUUAAUAAGUAUUAUCAUAUCAUAAAUAUGGCUUAUGAUCAUAUUUCUUUACAGAGUAUGGAGAAAAAGGUAACUGAAUUAUCUAAGAAUGUACCUAGAGAUGGAGGGACAUAGUUGCUUUGGUUCAGUUACUCUUAACUGGAAAAAAAUGAUAGCAUUGUUCAUUAGCAUUUUGAAAGCACCUUAUUAUGAAAAGAUAAUAAAAAAAAUGCAACAGAGAAUAUUACUGAUAUGGUGAUCUAAGGGAAAAUUAUUGAAAAUGCCAUCAAGAGUGAUAAGCUUGAGGAAUGAGAUGCUAGUAAUUCCAAGAAAGGGGGAUGCCUAAUAAAAAAGAAAUCGAAGCCUAAGUUGUGAGUUUUGAGAGGCAACAAUUUAGAGGUUAUGCUCUAUAUUCACCACAUGUUCAUCCUGCUUAUUACUCGAUAAUCAAUAAUAUUACACAAGUCUCUUACUAGCAUCAUUACUCAAACAUGACUAAUAUCUACCUAAGCCUUUUAUCAAUAAGCCUUUUAAGCACAUGUAUAUGGGCCUAAUCCUGUCACUAUACCAGUUUCAAGGCGUAACAAUCAAGCAAGUGAUUUUGGGAAGAUUCAAGGGCAACCAAGAAAGGGCUCGCAUUAAUCCUAUCCCCAUAAACUAUAUUGAGUUAUUCCCAAAAUUGGUCAAGAAUGACCUGGUAUCCCCAGUUUUUUUUUAGCCAUUGAAGCCAUCCUAUCCUAAAUGGUAUAAUAUUAAUGUCAUAUGUGAUUAUCAUAAUUGAAAUAUGAGUCACUUUAUAGAAAACUGCCCUGCUGUCAAGCAUAAGGUGCUAAGUUUGAUCCAAGCAAGCUCGAUAGGUUUUAAUGAAUCAGAGGAGCUAAAUGUCUAUAAAAGCCCUUUGCUUGAUCAACUAAGGGCACAAUUUUGGCAAGGAUACAAAAAAGUUGACUGAAACUACUUGUCAUUUUAGAAUUUCUUUAGAAUAAUGGACUUUUUUUAUUCUACUAGAAUUUCAUUUUAUUUUUCAUAAUUUUAAUAAAAGUGGCAUAUAUGAUGCAUAUUCAGGACAUUUUCUUUUUUGUGUGAAUCAUCAUUUUAUGCUUUUAUCUUCUUACAUCUUUUUCUAUAUCCAUUCUUAAAUUUUAAAUAAUAAAUGUUCAGACAGUUAUGACAACAAUUCAAGAUUCUAUUUUGAAAACAUCAUUCAUGUUGAUAAAUUAAGAUUGUUGGUUCAGAUUGCUGAAUAAAAAAAGAUAAAUUUGGCUAAGAAUUUUGCUCAUUGAAAGAUGAAAUUGAUGCGGAACGUGAUUUUUAUUUUUAGUGAAUAAAUGUUCUUCAUUAAGAGUAUUCAUGUUUGAAGUGAGAAAUGACCAUCUUUCUUAUACCCUUUACUUAGUGAGUAAAAUUAUCCUUUGUUAUCCCAUUUGAGUUUAUUGAAAUUUUCUUUCAAGAAACCCUAACUAGGGAUCACAUAUUCACAUUGGGGGCAAAGUUUGAGAAGUUUAGAAAAGUGAAGAUCCUUAAUGAUUUUAGAGGCAAAGCCCUUUUGUGCUCAAAUUUUUCUUGAAAAUGAUAAAAAUAAAAAGAAAACAAAAGCAAAAAAAAGGAAAAAAAAAUUGAUUGGGCAAAGUAUCAAUGUGCUCUACAUGAGAAGAAAUUAUCUUUAGUUUGAUUACCCUUCAAAUAUAGUUUGGGCCUAUUUUAUCCAUUUCUUUCAUAAGCCUUUACCUUAGCCUAUGUUAUGUCAUUUAAAAGUCCAUUUUGAUUAAAUGUAAAUACUCGAGUUAGAGAAUUAUGAGUUGAACUAAGGUUUUAAUUGGAUUGAUUGGGAUUUUAAAGGAACAAAGGAAAAUGAAAUAAAAAGAAAAAAAAUGAAAAGGAGAUGUGAAAAAAAAACCAAAAAAAGAAAAAGAAAGACUUAAAUUAAAAACCUGAAAGGGUGGUUUAAAAAAAAACUUGGAAAAAUAGCUUCAUUUGAGGAUCCUAGUGAUAUAUAUAAUAUUUGGUUCAAAGAUUGAGAAUAUCAAUGGAAUGUGUUUUCAAAAAAGAAUUCUAAAUUAGAGUUCAAAAUUGUUUGAAUAUUAAUUAUUUUGGAUUUUGAUAUCUCAUGUAAACAAUCGCAACAUUGUGCUUUUAUUUAUCUUUGAGUUGUUCUUGACCAUACUUUUUUUCAAUAAUGAGACCCAUUUUUCUUAUUCUUUACCAAAUGUACAUUCCCUAAAUGUAUUAAGAAAAUAUAUUAUACUUGUCAUAAAUUGGAAUGAUGAUAAAUACAUGAAUGACAAUGUUUGUAAAAUAUUUUUUCAUUCAUUUAAAAGAAAUUCAAGAUGAUAGAAGUGAAAGAAGUUAAGAAGAUGAGUUGAAAAGGGCAAAUAAGGUCAAUAUAACUUGUAAGUUAUGAUCAGAUGAAGAAACUGACAUGGAUCAAUUAAUGGAAUUUGUUCUAAAAUUAUUAAUACUGAUAAGCUAAAAAGGAAUAUAUAAGAUGGUAGAGUCUUAAAAACCUUGUUACCACAAUUGAAAUUUCAUGAUAUUGAUUUAGUGACAUCUUCAUUAUAUACAUUAUGUUUACAUUGUUUUUUAAAAUCUUUGAUAAUUGCAUUUGCAUCAUGGUUGGAGCAUGCAUUUGAAUCAUAGUAUGACAUUUGCAUUAUGGUUUAAAACAUGUAUUUGCAUCAUUUGGUAAGAAUCUAGAUUGUUACAUUUGCAAUAUGUAGAAGACAUUUGCAUUGAUAUUUAUUGUAUAAAAAUUUGACUUUGAUUGGAGAAAAUUUUUGACUUUUGAGUCCUUAAAUUAGGAAGAUCUUUCCUAAUGAGAUUUUUUUUAUGAGAAAAACUUUCCAAACGUUUUAAAAUAUAAAGCUUUUGUUUAAAUGAGCUUUUUGAAUAAUAAUAUUUGAAUUUUGGAUGUGAAUCCCAAACUUUUUUCAAUGUGAAUAUUCAAAAUGUUAGAUGUGAAACCUAGAAAUUUUUCGAAUAAGAAUCUUUGAAAUCUUGAUAUGAAUCCCAAAAUUUUUUGAAUGAGAAUCUUUAAAUUUUGGCCAUGAACCUUGAAAUCUUUGAUGUGAAUCCUUGAAAUUUUCAAAUAUAAAGCUUUAAAUUUUAGAUGUGAAUCACUAAAAAAAUUUUGUUUGAAUGCAAAUUUUUGAAUCUUGUAUGUGAAUUAUAAUUUGUGAAUCUUGUGAAUUUAAAGUUCUUAUGAAUAUGAAUUCUUACAAAUCUAAAAUUCUUAUCUAAGUUCUUACGAAUCUUCCAUUAUUGUGAAUCAAAAAAUUCAUGCGAAUCUGAAUUCUAGCAAAUUUUUAAAUUCUUUCGAAUCUAAAAUUCUUACAAAUCUUUAAAUUUUUAUGAAUUUGAAAAGCCUUACGAAUCUCGCAAUUUUUACAAAAUUUUAAAUUCUUGUGAAUUUGAAAUUCUUGUAAAUCUUUAAAUUCUUGUGAAUAUGAAAUUCUUGUGAAUCUUUAAAUUUUUGUGAAUCUAAAAACUUUACAAAUUUUAUAAUUCUUGCAUUUCUUUAAUUUCUUGCAAAUCUAAAAUUUUUGCAAAAUUUGGAAUCUUUGUGAAUCUUGAAACUUCUAUAAAUCUUUUAAUCUUGAAUCAUUUACGAACUUUUAAAAUCUUUGAAAAACUUGAAAUUCUUGUGUAUCUGAAAACUUUUAGAAUCUUGAAUCUUUUCAAAAUUUAAAAUCAUUACGAAUUCUUUGCGAAUCUUAAAGUCUUGGAAUCUUUCAAAUUUUGUUAUAGAACCUUGCGAAUCUUUACAAUAUUGUGAAGCUUUGAAUUUUUAAAUUGUGAAUAUUUGGAUUUCAAGCUAAAACUUUUGAAUAUUUUUGGACCCGAGUAAAAUGGAUGUCUUUUGACAUUUCAUAUUUAAAGUUUUUAAAGUUGUUUAGCCUUUAUAUAGGGAAAUCUAUUGCUUAAUUUAGAAUUGUUAAGCCUUUGUUUAAAGGAGUUAUUUGAAGUUUUUUUUUUUCAAAAGUCGCAUGCUUUUAUUUAGAGGAUUUUUUGCUUAAUUCGAGCCCCAACAUAAUUGGUAUCUAUGUUUUUGCAUAAUUCAUGUUUUGUAAAAAUUGUGCAAAGUGUGACAACUGUAGAUACCUUAUUUUGUUCAAGAAUUUUUUCGAGAUCGAAAACGGGCUUUCACCAUUAAUUGGACUUGAUUGUGAAGCUUUGGGCCCAAUAGAAAAUUUUUCAAUUUUAUGUUUAAUUUGAUUUUUGGUUUUAAUGUUAGUUUCUAUUUUUUUGAAAGUAAAAAAUAAGUCAAAAGUAUCAUUAAAAAAAUAAAAGAAAUAAAAAAAAUGAAAUUUUUGUUAAAGAGGAAAGCCACUAAAUUUGAUUUUAAGAAUCAUGCAAAAUUAAAUCCCACUAUUAAUUCCUAGUAAAAUAAAGCCAAAUCAAAUCCCAUUCGAUACAGAUUGGGUUGAUUAAUUUUCCAAAUUUAAAGGGAUUAAAUCUUUAUAAAGAAUGAUACGCAUAAGCCAUAUAACGAGAAAUUAUGUUUUGACUUUGGUAGUUUCUGGAAUUUUGAAUUCCAAAUUUUUUAUUUUUAAAGCUUUUUAGGAUCAGUUUUGGUUUUUUUUUUUUUCAUUUUUUUGAAGUCAAGAAACUUUCUAGGAAGUUUUGGUUUUUUGGACUACUUUUUUUUAAAGUUGUUCUAGGUUUUGAUUUGGUUUUAGACUAGGCUUUUUAAUUGAUUCAAGCUUGUGAUUUGAAUUUAUGGGGAAAUUUUGAUUUUUUUUGGAUUAGAUUGGAUAUCUAGGUUUGUUUGGAGAUUUUUAUGGGUUUUUUGAAAAUUUUUUUUGUGUUUUUCUAGGUUGGGUAUAAAGAUUUCAUUGAAUUUUUAAAGUUUUUAGUGAGGCUCACGAUGGUCGGAAUGUUUUUAUGGUGGCCGCUUCUGGGUUUAUUUGAUUUUCUAGAAAAGUUUGAACAUUUCGAUUGCUGGUUGAAUUUUCUGGCAUCAAAAUAUUGGAAUUUACGCUGCCAAAUGAAUUUCCUAUUUGAAUGUUAGAAAGAGGUAAGACGGAAAUUUUGUAGAGAGAGAAGGGACCAAGGCCAUAUAAGAAAAACUAAAAUUUUCUAACUUUUACAAUAGUACCAAAAUGGCACCGUUUUGGAGAAAAUCCUUUGACCCACGAGAACCUGUGGAGAUUCACGUGUAACCUGACUUGGACUCUGACUCAACCCAUAAUGUAGGUUUUCCUUUUUUUUGGUUGAUUUUCUACUUUGAUUUUUUUAAUAUCUUAUUUUAGUUUUUUGUUUUUUAUAUAUUAUUUUUAUUUUUAUAUUUUUAUAUUUAUUAUAAUUAUUUGAAUUAAUGUGGUGAGAAAAUAAAAAGAAAAAAUAGUUAUUUUUGCAUGAUUUUUUUUAUAACUAAUUGCAUGUUUUUAUAUUUAUUGUGUGAUCUAUUAAAUAUACUUUGUAUAACUACAUGAUUAUAUUUAAUUGUGUGAUAAAUAAUAUUAUUGCAUCAUAGUUUAUUAUUAUUGCAUGAUAUAUAAUAUUAUUAUUACAUGAUAUAUUUACAUGAUAAUUUUUCUUUAUUUUAACUGAUUUUUUAAAAAAAAUUAAAAAAAAGGGUUUUCAAAAAAAAUAUUUUUUAAUCUUACCAAACUAUUUGAGGAUUUAAGUCUUGAAUUAAGUUUUAUUAAACUAUUAGAAGCCUUAAUGAAUUUAAAAAAUAUAUUUUUUAAAAUCCUACCAACAUAUUAUAGGAUAAUUUUUGAUGAAAAAUCUUACCAACUUAUUGAAAGAUAUUUAUGAGAAUAAAUUGUUUUCACAAAUAAAAGUUUUUUACAACAAAAAAAUUAAACGAAUCCAAUGACAGAGCCUCUUCAAAGUGGUACACUAAUCUCCAUAAAUACUAUUGAUGUGAGAAAAUUAUCUUAAAUUAUUACCAAACUAUUGGAGUAAUUUUAAGAUCAAUUUUUAGUAAUUAAAUUAUUUGACAAAAUUACAAAGAGAAUUUAUGGUUUUGAUAAUUUGAAAUUAAAUUAGUAACAUCCUUUGGAUGGGCGUUGUGAGGGUGCUAUAAUCUUCCUUACGUAUAAUUAUACCCUCAAACCUAAAAUCUAGUUUCAUAAACUAGAAUCUAACUUUUAAAAAUACCUGAAUCAAGUUUAGAACUUCUCUUUAAAAUUAGACAGAUUCAGUUAGGUGAUCAAUCACACCUAAACAAAAAAAAAUUGAUGAGAACUCCUAAAAUCUCUGUCUGACAAUAAAUCCAAGAAUUUAUAUGUUAUAACAGUAUGGAACAUAUAAAAAUCAUUUAGCUCCGUUUGAUUAGUGCUUUUAUUUUUUCACUUUUUGCUAUUUGUCUUUUAUUUUCAAUUUAUUUUAUAUUUCAUAAGUUUGACUGGCUGUUCUAUAUAUAAUUAACAGAAAGACCAGUCAAUGCUGUUAGUAAUUCUGCUAUACCCUUGUUCAUAUAACACAUUGCUCAGAAUUUCAAAGUGUAGGCACCUGAUGGAAUAUUUUCCUUUUUUAAGUUUUAAGGAUCAUGUUGCUCGUUGACUAUUAGUGUAGGGGUCAUUUAUAGCUUCAUUUCUUUUAUUAUCACAUGAAAACCUACAAGCAUGGUGGCUGUAAAGUGUCAAUAAAUUACUUAAAUCCUACCGAGUCGCAGUCUGCUCAAUCUUUAUUAUCAACACUUGGUAUGGAACAUGUAAAAAUCAUUUAGCUCCAUUUGAUUAGUGCUUUUGUUUUUUUACUUUUUGUUAUUUGUCUUUUAUCUUUUUUUUUUUUUUUGCCUUUUUACUUUGUAUUGAAGAAAAUAAAAAAGCAAAUAACAAAAGCGUAAAUCAAAGGCAGCCUUAAAUUGGAAGUGCUAAAAUACUUGGUGGAAGUAAAAUGAUUGUUUUCAAUCUUUGUCAGCAUUGAACUAACUCUAUUGACAUAAUCUUCAUUCCUCUACUGCUAAUUUAUUCUGUUUGCACCUUUUUUAUGUGCAGAGAAUACUGGAACACAAAAACACCUGGAACUUAUCAUUGCAUAUGCCGUGACAAGCCUCUUUUUGAGUAAGUCUUUUGAUUUUGUUAGGAAUUUCCAACUAAAAUCAAUUGAACCUAUAACAUUCCAAACAUUUAUCAAUGCAUGAUCCUGUCCUCCAGAUCAUUGACUAAAUUUGACAGAACUGGCUGGCCUUCAUAUUAUCAGCCUACAGGAAACAAUGUGAAGUCAAAAUUAGAUCUGUCCAUAAUUCUUAUUCCUCGCAAAGAAGUUCUGUGUGCUGUUUGCAAUGCUUAUCUUGACCAUGUCUUUUGUGAUGGUCCUCCGCCUACAGGAAAGCGUUACAGCAUAAAUAGGUACACAUUUUUUUUUAAUGCCGGGUUGUGUCUAAUCUUAUGCAAUUUAUUUUUUAUGGACUUCAUUUUAACUAUGAUUAUUUUGCAGCGAUCCCCUAAAACUGAAACCCAAGCAAGAAAUAGUAUUAAGCUUGCAGUUGCAAAGCACAGACGAGACACUUGCAAUUGAAAAAAAUGAAACAACAUUUUCACUGACUUUGGUGUAUGAUGUUCAAUUAAUUUGGUGUGAUAGAAAUCCUUGUAAUUUUGUAGUAUUCAUGUAAGCCUGAUGGCGCAAAGGCAUGAUAAAAUCCUUGCAACAAGUUAUUGGCAUAUAAAACCCUUAAAAAAUACAUAUGAAGUUGUAUAAAACAAGUUAAAGAUUAUUUUAUUUUAUUUUAUUAAUAUCUUGAAGAUAAAACAUCUUGUUCAAGGUUGAGCCAAGUAAUAUAUAAGAAAGAAUUUAUAAUUAAUAAUACAUUAAUUUAGUCAGAAUAACACAUUAAAUUAAACAUAUAAUUGAGAACAAUAUUGUAGCUAACUUUAAUCCUUGCUUAUAGGUAUCCGUUAUUCAAACUUUUAGGGAAGAAAUGUUACAUGAUAUAAACAAAUGAUUACAUAAAAAAAAGAGAGAUAUUUGCUGAUGAGUACAAUAAAAACAUUUGUUAAUAAAAUUUUACUAACGAGUCUUUUUAUAUAUUUAUAAAAUUAGAUAACAUAUUAUUUAUAAUAUUUUUUAUGUUAUAUAUAAUAAUUAUUGUGAUAAUUUUAAUGUAUCUGAAAAAAUAUUUUCGUACCACGGGAAUAUUAAAGAAUGACCUAAACAAUGGUUUGGCAAAAUCCUAAGUACUGAAAUAACUUCAAAAAUGUUAUAAGCUGUGAUGAUUAAAUGUAAAAUACAAAUAUAUAAACUUUUUAAAAAUUUUUUAGGUUAAAAUAAUAAAAGUUCAUAAAUUUUAUUUCUUUAUUUAAAUAAACUUUUUUUAUUUUUAUUGAACUUAAAUAAUUUUUUUUUAUUUUACAUUCGAAUAAACUUUUAAAUUUUAAGUUUAUCUAAAUAUAUAUUUAUCAUCUAAUUUGUAUUUAAAUGUAUUAUUUAAAUACAAUAAAAAUAUAAAAUGUUAUCUAAAUAAAAUAAUAAAAUUCAAAAACCCUUUUAAUAUUUUAGUCAAAAUUUAAAUGACAUUUAUUACUAUCAUAAUAUUUUUGUAGUAGCAAAUUUCUUGAGACCGAAAGAAAAUAUUAAAUAAAAGAAAAAGAAAAAUCAAAUGAAAAACGCAAUAGAUGAGCGAAAAUUUCAAUGUAUGUUUGAUGGCGCAUGCAAUUGUAUAACCGCAACAUCUUUCUUGUCAGAAAACAAAAGUGUCGGUAAUACAUAUUUAGAAAAAUAAAAAACUAAUUUUUAUGGAUCCUGUGAUGUAAGCAAUGACAUAUAAUCUCAGUAUCCUUUUAUGGUAAAAGAAAGUCCUAGAAGAAAUCUUUAUAGAAAGUCCGCCAACUUCCCUAAACUAAUUUUUAUGGAUCCUGUGACAUAAGAAAUUACAUAUAGUCUGAGCAUUCCUUUAUGGUAAUAGAAGGCCCUCGAAGCACCAACGCUCCUAAAUUUUUUUGUCUAUAAAUACAUUUUGACAAACUCUUUUUCAUCGAAAACCAAAACCAAAACCAAAACAAAACCAAGGGUCUUUUUGAAGUCUUUUUAAAUUUUGAGUUCAAUUUCAAAUCUUUGAUUGUUUAGUUUAUCAAAAUGUCGGAGGAAGUAGUCUUGUUGGAUUUCUGGCCAAGUCCAUUUGGAAUGAGAAUGAGGAUUGCUUUGGCUGAGAAAGGGAUAAAAUAUGAGUCAAAGGAAGAAGAUUUGAGGAACAAGAGUGAUUUGCUUUUGCAGAUGAAUCCUAUUCACCAAAAAAUCCCUGUUCUUAUCCAUAAUGGUAAACCUGUUUGUGAGUCACUCAUCCAGGUUCAGUACAUUGAUGAGGUUUGGCAUCAUAAAUCUCCUUUGCUUCCUUCUGAUCCUUACCAGAGAGCUAUUGCUAGAUUCUGGGCUGAUUUUGCUGACAAGAAGGUACUUUCGUUUUUUACUUUUUUCUACUUUUUCUAAGUCUAAGUUUUCUUUGAUUUAGUCAGACUGACUUUGAAUUUUGGAGGGUUUUCUUUUUAUUUAUAAACCAGCAGUCUACUAAUUAAGAAUUGACUGCUAAUGCUAGUGUGAUAACUUUAAUCAAUAGACUGUUUUGAUUUGAGAUACUUUUGAGUUUCAAUUUUUUUUCUUUUUUUUGGGGUAAUUUUGAUAAUUAGAUGCCUAAUCAAGUCAAGUUGUGGUGAAUAGUAUAUUUUGGUAUAAUUGAUAUUGAAUCAAGCAGUGAGAGAUAACAUUGUUUAAUAAAAAUGCAGAUGUCUGACCUUGGGAGGAAAAUAUGGGCAACUAAGGGAGAAGAACAGGCAAAUGCAAAGAAAGAAUUUAUUGAGAGCCUGAAGCUGUUGGAAGGAGAGCUUGGAGACAAGCCUUACUUUGGUGGAGAAAAUCUUGGUUAUGUAGAUGUUGUCUUUGUCCCAUUUUACAGCUGGUUUUAUGCCUAUGAGAUGUGUGGUGACUUCAGCAUUGACGCAGAGUGCCCCAAACUGAUGGCAUGGGCUAAAAGGUGUCUGGAAAAGGAGAGUGUAUCCGAGUCUCUUCCUGACCAAGAAAAAGUCUAUGGCUUUGUUUUGCAAAUGAAGAAAGCCUUUGGAAUUGAGUGAAAUUGUGGAGGGGCUACUUUUAGUUUUCAUGUUUUAUGGUUGGUUUGAAUAAAUGGGCAUUUAGUUGUGCCUCGUUGUUUUGUGUUGUUAGGGUGAAUGUUUUCUUUUCUUUUUUUUUUUUUCCUGUUCUGAAAGAUAGUCAGAGCACUUAGAUUUGGUUGUGAUUCUGAUUUGAAAUUUGAAGUUAUUAAAAAGUAAUACGUUUCCUAAAUAUGUUUUACCUGGUAUUUUUUGUGCACAUAUUCUUUUUAAUUUCAGUUUUUUUUUAUCAAUUUGGCAACUUGGCUAUCCAUGUGGAUCGCAAAAAUUUCUGGUCUACUAUGACAAGAAUAGGAUAAAUUAUCAUUGAUGUCAAUUUUUUUUUAUUGUAAGAAUGUUUUCCUAAUUUCAACGAAAAAAUUGCAAGCCAUCUCUUUGUGAUUUUGUUUUAAAGCAUACUCAACUAAAUUUUGCUGAGUAAUGUAUAAGUCAAAAUCAAUUUCAAUUGAUGCUAAAAUUUGGACCUAAUUAACCAUUGCAAGGUUUUUCAAUAAAAAAUUACUUUUUGGUUUUUUUUUUUUUAUCUCUUUAAAUUCUAAUGUGAUGUAAUCAUCAUAUCAAUGUAUUAAGUAAUAAAUAGUUUAAGAAUUUUACAUAACAAUGCUCUUAGAUUGUUGAUAAUAAUCAUAUAUUAUUUUAUAUGAUGAUUAGAUUUUCAUCCAAAAACGUAAAAAAAAAUUUUAUCAAUGAGAGUUAUUUUUCAAAUCAUUUUAAAAUAAAUUAAAUUUCUGAUUGGUAUCCAUCAAAAUAUGUCUCUUUUUUUAUAAAUAAAAUUUCACUUUUUAAUCAUUUUAUACAAGACAAUUUAUAUGAUUUUAAAUACGAACAUGUUAAUAAUUUUGAAUCAUACUCAUGAGAACUUGUUCAUACCUUAUAUCUUUUGUAGAACAAUGAUUCUUAUUUUAUAAUUUUUUUUUCAUUCAAUAAAAAAUUAAAAACGUUGGUUUCUUUUAAAUAACCUUAAUAAUAAUAAUAAGGUUAUUUUGAAAUUUUUUUUAUUUUCAAUGAUUUUUUUAUGCAAUAUAAAGAAAUGAUUUAUAAUAUUAUAUUAAUCAUGAUGAUCUAAAAUCAUUACUCAUCAAAUUAUUUUAAUAAUUUUAUAAUCACGAUAAUUAGAUCACUACAAUUAUUUUAAAAGUGAUAAAAAAAAAAAAACUAUUCUUCAACUUUAACUUUCUCAUGAUUUUUUGAGGUUUAAUAUGUUUGGUGUGAUAAUGGGCUCUUAAGCCCAAAAAAAUUAGAUUUAAAGGCGAUGGAUAAGCCUACGAAUUAGUGCUAUUUUCAUUGAAUCGUUUUUGUCUUAAAUUUUGUAUUUCCUCACAUGAUAUAUAUAUAUAUAUAUAUAGUUAUUGAAUGAAUUCACAAAUGAUCUAUUAAUUCAUGAGUGAGUAAAUUAAUUCAUAAAUGAAAUAUUAUAAUUAUAAUUAAAAUAAUUAUUGUAUGCUAUAUUAGGGAAUACAAAUAUUUUUUGGGUAACUUGGCUGUCCAUAUGGACCGCAAAUUUCUAGCCAAAUUUGACAAGAACAGGAUGAAUUAUCGUUGAUGUCAUUUUUUUUCUAUUGUAAUUAAGAAUGUUUUCCUAAUUUCAACUAAAAAAAUUGCAAGCCACGUCUUUGUAAUUUUGUUUUAAUGAAUACUUAAUUAAAUUUUGAGGGGAUAGUAGAAAUCAAAAUAAUUUUGAAUAGAUGUCUAACUUUGGACCUAAUUAACCAUUGCAAGGUUUUUCAAUAAAAAGUUUACAUCUUGGUUUUUUUUUUAAAUGUUUUAGAAUAUCUUUAACAUCGAAAGUGAUGUAAUGAUUAUAUAACUGUAUUUAAGUAAUAAACAAUUUCAUAAUCUUACAUGAUAGUAAUUUUAAAUUAUUGAUAAUAAUUAAAUAUUCUUUUAUAUAAUAAUUUAAUUUUCAUAUAAAAAAUAUAAGAAAAUUUUAUCAUUGAGAGUGAGAAUGAUUUUUAAAAUCAUUUUAAGAUAAAUUUAUUUUCAAAUUGGUAUCCAUCAAAAUAUGUUUCUCUUUAAAUUUUUUUAAAAAACAAACUUUCACUUUUUUAAAUCAUUUUGUACAAGAUAAUUUAUAUGACUUUAAAUAUGAACAUUAUAAUAAUUUUGAAUUAUACUCAUAAGAACUUAUUCAUACCCUAUAAUUUUUUUUUUCUAAAUGGUAUAAAAAGCCCUUUGAACUAUAAUUAAAAUAUCAUUCCAGCUUUUAUUUUUUUAUUGUAACCAAUCAAUUCUUUCAACAUUUACAUGCAUCCAAUUAAAUUUUAUUUGGAUGAAAAUGUUUCCUUAAUUUUUUUUUGUCAACUAAUAUAAAAUUUCUUGUGAAAUCUAUAAAAUAGAUGAAAGUUUAUCACGUAAUAUAAUUAAUAUUUAAAAAUUAAAUAAAAUAAGCUUUUCUUUUUUUUCUCUCUCUAUUUUCUUUGUUUCCUUUUCUCUAAGAUCUCUAUAAAGAAUUAAUUGACUAAAUUUUAUUACAUAAUUAGAUUUUAUUCAUUUAAAAAUUUAUCUUUUUAUUGAGUCAGUAAAAAGUUUCAGUUCAAAGUUAAUCCCAGCCGAUAUUUAGGAUUUCUAUCAACACCUUUACUUGGCGUGGAUGUUCCAUAAAGAAGCGUGGAGUUAAGGAUGCAUAUGUUAAGCAUCUUUGGUUUUGGGUAUGUAGAGUAUUUAUUUUAUUGAUAGGGUUUUCUAUGCUUAUGGAUGUUUUGGAUAUUGAAAAUAUUUUUUUUGUUAGGGAAUAUUGACUCAAAUAUCAUAAACGAUUUAUUUGGAAUUAAAUUAACUAAAUAUUACUUGAUGAAUAAAAAUAUUUGCAAGAGAAGAAUUUUAAGAGAAAAUAUAUUUUUAAUAGACAAGUUUAUAUGCUUAUAAAUAAAUAAAAUUUCUAUUAGGUUAAGUAUGAGAAAAAAUAUAAGAGAGCUAUAGGGUUUAUGGGAUAAACACUCCCUAAGACUAUUGAAAAUUUACGAAAGAGACUGAAAAAGUUUACAUAGGUAUAGUGCCUUGGUGCAUAUAGAUAUGCGUUUAUUUGGAUUAAGAAUACUCCGUGUAAAUUGUUUGCUUUUGUAUCCAACACAUUCUUUGGACAUUUUGGAAGCAAAAGUUAAGGACCAAAAGUGGUGGUGAAAGGAGCCAAAUUUGUUUUUGGCCUUCCAAAAGUUUUCUCUUUUAGCAAGGGAUCUAUUUACAAUGCAAUUUCGGAGAUGUCUUCUGGUGUCAUGUAGCCGUGAACAUAUAGUCAUUGUAUAAAGUGGCCUCUGAACUCAAAACUUGUUCAAUUAUGUAUCUAAAUCUUAAAAAUUGUGUGCAUUUUGGUCGGAUAACUGAUAGAAUUGAUUAAUGUGCUAAGUAGAUAGAUGGGUUUGUUAACUAUAGAACAGUACAAAGUAUAUUUUAUUAAACACUAUGUGUAAGCAUUUUGAUGGCAUGUGAUGCCCAUGUGGACUGGAAACUUGCCUGGAUUAUAACACAUAUCUCACUUGCCUGAUGGAUAUAUUCAUGCAAUAAAAUAACUGCUUGAGAUCUAGUUUAUUGCAAACUGCAACAUACCUGACACCUUGUGUGAAAUUUCUUUUUUUCUCUAACAAGUUUGACUAGCUGUUCUACAUAUAAUUAACAGAAAGGCAGGUCAAUGCCGCUAGAAUUGAAAGUGUAGGCACCGGAUGGAAUACUUCCUUUUUUCAGUUUUAAGGAUCAUGUUACUCGUUGAUUAUUGGUGUAGGGGUCAUUUAUAGCGUCAUUUCUUUUAUUAUCACAUGAAAUCCCACCAGUAUGGUGGCUGUAAAGUGUCAAUAAAUUACCUAAAUCCUGCCGAGUCACAAUCUAAUCAAUCUGCAUUAUCAACACUUGGUACGGAACAUGUAAAAAUCAUUUAGCUCCAUUUGAUUAGUGCUUUUGUUUUUUUUACUUUUUCUAUUUGUUUUUUUAUUUUCAGUAUUGUUUUUUUUUCUUUCUCAUUUUGUAUUGAAGAAAAUAAAAAGCAAAUAACAAAAGCGUAAAUAAAAGGCAGCCUUAAAUUGGAAGUGCUAAAAUACUUGGUGGACGUAAAAUGAUUGUUUUCAAUCUUUGUCUGCAUUGAACUAACUGCUAUUGAUAUAAUCUUCAGUCCUCUACUGCUAAUUUAUUCUGUUUGCACCUUUUGAAUGUGCAGAGAAUACUGGAACACAAAAACACCUGCAACUUAUCAUUGCAUAUGCCGUGACAAGCCUCUUUUUAAGUAAGUCUUUGAUUUUGUUAGGAAUUUCCAACUAAAAUCAAUUGAACCUACAACAUUCCAAACAUUUAUCAAUACAUGAUCCUCUCCUCCAGAUCAUCGACUAAAUUUGACAGAACUGGCUGGCCUUCAUAUUAUCAGCCUAUAGGAAACAAUGUGAAGUCAAAAUUAGAUCUGUCCAUAAUUCUUAUGCCUCGCGAAGAAGUUCUGUGUGCUGCUUGCAAUGCUCAUCUUGACCAUGUCUUUUAUGAUGGUCCUCCACCUACAGGAAAGCGUUAAAGCAUAAAUAGGUAAAACAUUUUCUUUUAAUGCCGGGUUGUGUCUAAUCUUAUGCAAUUUAUUCUUUAUGGACUUCAUUUGAGCUAUGGUUAUUUUGCAGCGAUCCCCUAAAACUGAAACCCAAGUAAGAAAUAGUAUUAAGCUUGCAGUCGCAAAGCACAGACGAGACACUUGUGAUUGAAAAAAAUGAAAUAAUAUUUUCACUGAAUUUGGUGUAUGAUGUUCAACUAAUUUCAUGUGACAGCAAAUCCAUGUAAUUUUGUAGUAUUCAUGUAAGCCUGAUGGCACAAAGGCAUGAUAAAAUCCUUGCAACAAGUUAUUGGUAGUAUAAAACCCUUAAAAAAUGCAUAUGAAGUUGUAUAAAACAAAUUAAAGAUUAUUUUAUUUUAUUAAUAUCUUGAAGAUAAAACACCUUGUUCAAGGUUGAGCCAGUAAUAUAUCAGAAAAAAUUUAUAAUUAAUAAUACAUUAAUUUAGUAAGAAUAACACAUUAAAUUAAAUAUAUAAUUGAGAACAAUAUUGUACCUAACUUCAAUCUUUACUUAUAGGCAUCCGUUACUCAAACUUAGGGAAGAAAUGUUACAUGAUAUAAACAAAUGAUUACAUAAUAAAAAGAGAGAUAUUUGCUGAUGAGUACAAUAAAAACAUUUUUUAAUAAAAUUUUACUAACGAGUCUUUUAUAUAUUUAUAAAAUUACAUAACAUAUUAUUUAUAGUAUUUUUUAUGUUAUAUAUAAUAAUUAUUGUGAUAAUUUUAAUGUAUCUGAAAAAAUAUUUUCGUACCACGGGAAUAUUAGAAUGACCUAAACAAUGGUUUGGCAAAAUCCUAAGUACUGAAAUAACUUCAAAAAUGUUAUAAGCUGUGAUGAUUAAAUGUAAAAUACAAAUAUAUAAACUUUUUAAAAAAUUUUUAGGUUAAAAUAAUACAAGUUCAUAAAUUUUAUUUCUUUAUUUAAAUAAACUUUUUUUUAUUUUUAUUGAACUUAAAUAAUUUUUUUUUAUUUUACAUUCAAAUAAACUUUUAAAUUUUAAGUUUAUCUAAAUAUAUAUUUAUCAUCUAAUUUGUAUUUAAAUGUAUUAUUUAAAUACACUAAAAAUAUAAAAUGUUAUCUAAAUAAAAUAAUAAAAUUCAAAAACCCUUUUAAUAUUUUAGUCAAAAUUUAAAUGACAUUUAUUACUAUCAUAAUAUUUUUGUAGUAGCAAAUUUCUUGAGACCGAAAAAAAAAAUAAAAGAAAAAGAAAAAUCAAAUGAAAAACACAAUAGAUGAGCGAAAAUUUCUGUGUAUGUUUGAUGGCGCAUGCAAUUGCAUAACAGCAACAUCGUUUCUUGUCAGAAAACGAAAGUGUCAGUAAUACAUAUUUAGAAAAAUAAAAAACUAAUUUUUAUGGAUCCUGUGAUGUAAGCAAUGGCAUAUAAUCUGUGUAUCCUUUUGUAGUAAAAGAAAGUCCACCAACUUCCCUAAACUAAUUUUUGUAGAUCCCGUGACAUAAGCAAUUACAUAUAGUUUGAGUAUUCUUUUAUCGUAAUAGAAGGCCCUCGAAGCACCAACGCUCCUAAAUUUUUUUGUAUAUAAAUACACUUUGACAAACCCUUUUUCAUCGAAAACCAAAACCAAAACCAAAACAAAACCAAGGGUUUUUUUUUAAGUCUUCUUAAAUUUUUAGUUGAGUUUCAAAUCUGUGAUUGUUUAGUUUAUCAAAAUGUCGGAGGAAGUAGUUGUGUUGGAUUUCUGGCCAAGUCCAUUUGGAAUGAGAAUGAGGAUUGCUUUGGCUGAGAAAGGGAUAAAAUAUGAGUCAAAGGAAGAAGAUUUGAGGAACAAGAGUGAUUUGCUUUUGCAGAUGAAUCCUAUUCACCAAAAAAUCCCUGUUCUUAUCCAUAAUGGUAAACCUGUUUGUGAGUCACUCAUCCAGGUUCAGUACAUUGAUGAGGUUUGGCGUCAUAAAUCUCCUUUGCUUCCUUCUGAUCCUUACCAGAGAGCUAUUGCUAGAUUCUGGGCUGAUUUUGUUGACAAGAAGGUACUUUCGUUUUUUACUUUUUUCUAAGUUUUCAUUGAUUUAGUCAGACUGACUUUGAAUUUUGGAGGGUUUUCUUUUUAUAUAUAAACAAACAGUCUACUAAUUAAGCAUUGACUGCUAAUGCUAGUGUGAUAACUUUAAUCAAUAGACUGUUUUGAUUUGAGAUACUUUUGAGUUUCAAUUUUUUUUCUUUUUUUUGGGGUAAUUUUGAUAAUUAGAUGCCUAAUCAAGUCAAGUUGUGGUGAAUAGUAUAUUUUGGUAUAAUUGAUAUUGAAUCAAGCAGUGAGAGAUAACAUUGUUUAAUAAAAAUGCAGAUGCCUGACCUUGGGAGGAAAAUAUGGGCAACUAAGGGAGAAGAACAGGCAAAUGCAAAGAAAGAAUUUAUUGAGAGCCUGAAGCUGUUGGAAGGAGAGCUUGGAGACAAGCCUUACUUUGGUGGAGAAAAUCUUGGUUAUGUAGAUGUUGUCUUGGUCCCAUUUUACAGCUGGUUUUAUGCCUAUGAGAAGUGUGGUGACUUCAGCAUUGAAGCAGAGUGCCCCAAACUGAUCGCAUGGGCUAAAAGGUGUCUGGAAAUGGAGAGUGUAUCCGAAUCUCUUCCUGACCAAGAAAAAGUCUAUGGCUUUGUUUUGCAAAUGAAGAAAGCCUUUGGAAUUGAGUGAAAUUGUGGAGGGGCUACUUUUAGUUUUCAUGUUUUAUGGUUGGUUUGAAUAAAUGGGCAUUUAGUUGUGCCUCGUUGUUUUGUGUUGUUGGGGUGAAUGUAUUCUUUUCUUUUUUUUUUUUCCUGUUCUGAAAGAUAAUCUUACAUGAUAGUGAUUUUAAAUUAUUGAUAAUAAUUAAAUAUUCUUUUGUAUAAUAAUCUAAUUUUCAUAUAAAAAAUAUGAGAAAAUUUUAUCAUUGAGAGAGAGAAUGAAAUUUAAAAUCAUUUUAAGAUAAAUUUAUUUUCAAAUUGGUAUCCAUCAUAAUAUGUUUCUCCUUAAAUUUUUUUAAAAAACAAACUUUCAGCUUUUAAAUCAUUUUAUACAAAAUAAUUUAUAUGACUUUAAAUAUGAACAUGUUUAUAAUUUUGAAUUAUACUCAUAAGAACUUAUUCAUACCUUAUAAAAUUUUUUUCUAAAGGGUAUAAAAAGCCCUUUGAACUAUAAUUAAAAUAUCAUUUUAGCUUUUAUUUUUUAUUAUAAUCAAUCAAUUCUUUCAACAUAGAUUUGCAUCCAAUUAAAUUUUAUUUGGAUGAAAAUGUUUCUUUAAAUUUUUUUGUCAACUAAAAUAAAAUUUCAUGUGAAAUCUAUAAAAUAGAUUAAAGUUUGUCACGUAAUAUAAUUAAUAUAUUUUAAAAUUAAAUAAAAUCAGCUUUUCUUUUUUUUUUUUCUCUCUAUUUUCUUUGUUUCCUUUUCUCUAAGAUCUCUAUAAAGAAUUAAUUGACUGUAAAUCAAAAAUUAAUUGACUAAAUUUUGUCGCAUAAUUAGAUUUCAUCCAUUUAAAAAUUCAAUUUUUAACUAAAUUAGUAAGUUAAUCCCAGCUGAUCUAUCAGCACCUUUACUUGGUGUGGAUUUUCCAUAAAGAAGCGUGGAGGUAUGGCUGCAUAUGUCAAGCAUCUUUGGUUUUGGGUGUGUAGUGUAUUUAUUAUAUUGAAUGGGUUUUUUUUAUGCCUGUGGAUGUUUUGGAAAUUGGAAAUAUUUUUUUUUGUUACGAAUAUUAACUCAAAUCUCAUAAAUGAUUUAUUUGGGAUUAACUAGAUAUUAUUUGAUAAAUACUUAUAACAGGAGAAUUUUAAAAGAAAAAAUAUUCUUGACAGGCAGAUUUAUAUGCUUAUAAAUAAGUAAAAUUUCUAUUGAGUUAAGUAUGAGAAAAAAAUAUAAGAGAGUUUAUGAGAUAGACACUCUAUAGGAUUGCUGGAGAUUUACGAAAGAGAUUAAGAGAGUCUACAUAGAUAUAGUGCAUUGAUGCACAUAGGUAUAUGUUUAUUUGGAUUAAAAAUACUCCAUAGACUAGAGAAGAUUAAAAGAGUUUAUGGGUAUUGAUUAUAAGUGCAUAUUUAUAUGUACAGUAUGAUUGUGAUUCUUCAUAACUAAUGAAUUUUUUUUCAUCCGUUAAUGUAGGUCGAUUAAGCCAAACUGCAUUAAAUUUAUAUUCUUGUGUGGUUGAUUGAUUAUUUGAUUUUGUUUUUGCUAGUGUGAAUAUUCAAUUUGAUUAGAUUGGGAUUUUUCGCCUAAGAAGUGAUAUUAGCAUUGUCAUAAUCCCAACAAGUAGUAUCAGAGUUGAAGGUUGAGACAUAUAAAAAGGUAAGCUCAGAGGAGCUCGAUUUAAGAGAAAAAUUUGAGUUUGUGUUUUGAGAAUUGAUAUAAAUGAAGCUAUGAGGCACAGAAGAGAAGAUAAUUGCAAGACUUCCAUUGUAGUUGGAGCUAAACAUGUCUAGUAUGAAGACUGAUGAUUUGAUAGAAUUUGAGUCAAAGUGGAGAUUAUUGAGAAUAGUGACUCAAAACUCAUAAGUGAUUUGUUUGGGAUUGAAUGUAUAUUACUUGAUGGAUAAAAAUACUUGCAAAAGAAGAAUUCUAAGAGAAAAUAGAUUCUUGAUAAGUAAGUUUGUAUAUUUAUAAAUAAGUGAAGUCUCUAUUGGGUGAGAUAUGAAAAAAAAAAGUUGUAGGGUUUAUAGGAUAAACACUUUAUAGAACUACUGAAAAUUCACAUCUUAUGGAUGUAUAUAUUUGAAUGUGUGUAAGUAGACUAAAAGAGACUGAAAGGAUCCACGUAAAUAUGAUAUAUACGUGCACAUUGGUACGUAUUUGUUUGGGUUGAGAAUACUCCGUGACUAGAAGAGAUUGAGAGGAUUUGAUGAAUGAUUAUUGAUAUGGAUUGUAUGAUUAUAAUUCUCUACAAUUAGUAGAUCUUUUUUUUCAUCUGUGAACAUAGGUUGACUAGAUCAAAUCAUGUUAAAUUAUUAUCUCUUGUGUGGUUGAUUUAUUAUUUGUUUGAUUUUGCUUCUCUUGACAUAAAUGUUCAAUUCAAUUGGAUUGGGGUUUUUCUCCUAAUAAGUAGUAUCAGAGUUAUUAAAAUUCUAACACUUUUAUUGUUUGGUUGAAAGAUAUAACGGUGGAGCUCGUGUUUGUGCUUUUUGAAUAGUACUAUGAGUUUGAAGUUCAUUAAAGCAUCUUCUUUUCCUACGUUUUUUUUUUUUUUUUGAAAAUAUAUUUUUAACAAUGAAACAGCUAAAACAACGUUAAAUCACCUUUUCUGGGGCUUGUUUGGAUGAAUAUAUAUUCUUCUUCUUUCCUGUCAAAACCCUGCACUAUUAUUUUUCCUUUAUUAUUAAAAAUCUGAAUCUGUUUUGCCUCAUGAUAUUUGAUUGUUUGUCCUGUGUAGCGACGGGUGGGGGUGUGGUUGACGUUGCUUCUUUAAGUGACGAAGAAUGGAAGAAGAAGCUUACACCUGAACAAUUUUACAUUACUCGACAAAAAGGGACUGAGAGAGCUUUCACUGGGUAUGUUCUUCUAUUCAUAGAAACUGUACUGCUUUUUCAGGUUCAACUUCUGAAAAUGCACUUUACUUUCUAAGAUAAUGGUUUUAAGUAUUUUCUAAGAAUUCCACUAGUCUGAGAGAUUAGUGUUUCUGCGUACUUUCUUUUCCGAGCUAUAAGAAUUUCUUCCUAGUACUAAUCUAUUUGACAGCCCCUUUUUUGGUACCCUGAAAGUUCGUUUUAGUUGUCCCCCCUAUGCAGGUGUCUUAAUUCAAAUAGAAAAUGUAUGCCAGAAUCUAAUUUCUCUUACUUUUCUCUCGUUUGAUGAAUGAUUUCAAUCUCUUAAUGAUGUGAAUCCUUCUUCUAUCCCUACAAAGUAGGUGGCAAAUACUAGUAUAUUGUGCAGACACAUGCAUGUGAGCAUUUUUCCUAUUGGCGGUGAAAAUAAAAUGGAGUACCAGAGAGUUUGUCUCUAAAUUUCAUCUCUUUUGAAUAUGAAGAUUACAUGGUAUGUAGCUGAGCUAACUUGGUUAGUAAGCUUCUUUUAACGUUUCUGGUGAUUCAUACUUUAAAAAGAAAUAGAGGGAGUCAGACUUCAUAAAAAUAUCAUGCAUGAGCCACCUCCCAAUUUCUGUUCAUACUUUAUUACGGUUUAUUUGGUUAUUACUUUUGAUAGUUACUUUUUAGAUAAAGUUCUAAAGUACAAACACAUAAUAUUAAGCAAAAUCAUAUUUCAUCAAAACAAAAGGGUAAGAUAUAAAACCAAUUCAAAAGUAAUAAAUUCAUACAAGAGCAAAAUCAAGCAUUUUUAUCCGUGAAAGUUGAAUUUUUAUUUUUUAAGCCUUCAGUAAAUUGUUUGCUUUUGUAUUCAACAAAUUUUUGGACAUUUUGCUUCUGGAAGCAAAAGUUAAGGACCAAAAGUGGUGGUGAAAGGAGCCAAAUUUGUUUUUGGCCUUCCAAAAGUUUCUCUUUUAGCAAGGGAUCUAUUUACAAUGCAAUUUAGGAGAUAUCAUCUGAUGUCAUGUAGCCGUGAACAUAUUGUCAUUGUAUAAAGCGGCCUCUGAAAUCAAAAUUGUUCAAUUCGGUAUCUAAAUCUUAAAAAUUGUGUGCAUUUUGGUUGGAUAACUGAUAGAAUUGAUUAAUGUGCUAAGUAGAUAGAUGGGUUUGUUAACUAUAGAACAGCACAAAGUAUAUUUUAUUAAACACUAUGUGUAGGCAUUUUAAUGGCAUGUGAUGCCCAUGUGGACUAGAAACUUGCCUGGAUUAUAACACAUAUCUCACAUGCCUGAUGGAUAUAUUCAUGCAAUAAAAUACCUGCUUGAGAUCCAGUUUGUUGCAAACUGCAACAUACCACCUGACACCUUGUGUGUAAUUUCAAUUUUCUCUAACAAGUUUGACUAGCUGUUCUAUAUAUAAUUAACAGAAAGACCAGUCAAUGCUGUUAGUAUUCAAAGUGUAGGCACCGGAUGGAAUAUUUUCCUUUUUCAGUUUUAAGGAUCAUGUAACUCGUUGAUUAUUAGUGUGGGGGUCAUUUAUAGCUUCAUUUCUUUUAUAAUCACAUGAAAACCUACCAGCAUGGUAGCUGUAAAGUGUCAAUAAAUUACCUAAAUCCUGCCGAGUCACAAUCUACUCCAUCUGCAUUAUCAACACUUGGUAUGGAACAUGUAAAAAUCAUUUAGCUCCAUUUGAUUGGUGCUUUUGUUUUUUUUACUUUUUGCUAUUUGUCUUUUAUUUUCGUUUUUUUUUUUUCCUUUUUCACUUUGUAUUGAAGAAAACAAAAAGCAAAUAACAAAAGCGUAAAUCAAAGCAGCUUUAAAUUUGAAGUGCUAAAAUACUUGGUGGACGUAAAAUGAUUGUUUUCAAUCUUUGUCUGCAUUGAACUAACUGCUAUUGAUAUAAUCUUCAUUCCUCUACUGCUAAUUUAUUCUGUUUGCACCUUUUUUAUGUGCAGAGAAUACUGGAACACAAAAACACCUGCAACUUAUCAUUGCAUAUGCCGUGACAAGCCUCUUUUUGAGUAAGUCUUUUGAUUUUGUUAGGAAUUUCCAACUAAAAUCAAUUGAACCUACAACAUUCCGAACAUUUAUCAAUACAUGAUCCUGUCCUCCAGAUCAUCGACUAAAUUUGACAGAACUGGUCGGCCUUCAUAUUAUCAGCCUAUAGGAAACAAUGUGAAGUCAAAAUUAGAUCUGUCCAUAAUUCUUAUGCCUCGCGAAGAAGUUCUGUGUGCUGCUUGCAAUGCUCGUCUUGAACAUGUCUUUUAUGAUGGUCCUCCACCUACAGGAAAGCAUUACAGCAUAAAUACGUAAAACAUUUUCUUUUAAUGCCGGGUUGUGUCUAAUCUUAUGCAAUUUAUUCUUUACGGACUUCAUUUGAACUAUGGCUAUUUUUCAGUGAUCCCCUGAAACUGAAACCCAAGUAAGAAAUAGUAUUAAACUUGCAUUUGCAAAGCACAGACGAGACACUUGUGAUUGAAAAAAAUGAAAAAACAUUUUCACUGACUUUGGUGUAUCAUGUUCAAUUAAUUAGGUGUGAUAACAAAUCCAUGUAAUUUUAUAGUAUUCAUGUAAGCCUGAUGGCGCAAAGGCAUGAUAAAAUCCUUGCAACAAGUUACUGAAAGUAUAAAACCCUUAAAAAAUGCAUUUCAAAUUGUAUAAAGCAAGUUAAAUAUUAUUUUAUUUUAUUAAUAUCUUGAAGAUAAAACAUCUUGUUCAAGAGGUUGAGCCAAGUAAUAUAUAAUAAAAAAUUUAUAAUUAAUAAUACAUUAAUUUAGUCAGAAUAACACAUUAAGUUAAACAUAUAAUUGAGAACAAUAUUGUAGCUAACUUUAAUCUUUGCUUAUAGGCAUCCGUUACUCAAACUUUUAGGGAAGAAAUGUUACAUGAUAUAAACAAAUGAUUACAUUAAAAAAAGAGUGAUAUUUGCUGAUGAGUACAAUAAAAACAUUUUUUAAUAAAAUUUCACUAACGAGUCCUUUUAUAUAUUUAUAAAAUUAGAUAACAUAUUAUUAUUUAUAAUAUUAUUUAUAUUAUAUCUAAUAAUUAUUGUGAUAAUUUUAAUGUAUCUAAAAAAAUAUUUUCGUAUCACGAGAAUAUUAAAGAAUGCCCUAAACAAUGGUUUAGCAAAAUCCUAACUGAAAUAACUUCAAAAAAUGUUAUAAGCUGUGAUGAUUAAAUGUAAAAUACAAAUAUAUAAACUUUUUAAAAAUUUUUAAGGUUCAAAUAAUAAAAAGUUCAUAAAUUUUAUUUCUUUAUUUAAAUAAACUUUUUUGUUUUUAUUGUACUUAAAUAUUUUUUUAUUUUUUAUUUUACAUUCAAAUAAAAUUUUAAAUUUUAAGUUUAUCUAAAUAUGUAUUUACCAUCUAAUUUGUAUUUAAAUAUAUUAUUUAAAUACAACAAAAAUAUAAAAUGUUAUCUAAAUAAAAUAAUAAAAUUCAAAAACCCUUUUAAUGUUUUAGUCAAAAUUUAACUGACAUAUAUUGCAAUCAUAAUGUUUUUGUAGUAGCAAAUUUCUUGAGACCGAAAGAAAAAAUUAAAUAAAAGAAAAUGAAAAAUGAAAUGAAAAACGUAAUAGAUGAGCGAAAUUUUGUGUAUAUGUUUGAUGGCGCAUGCAAUUGCGUAACAGCAACAUUGUUUCUAGUCAGAAAACAGAAGCGUCAGUAAUACAUAUUUAGAAAAAUAAAAAACUAAUUUUUAUGGAUCGUGUGACGUAAGCAAUGGCAUAUAAUCUCAGUAUCCUUUUUUAGUAAAAGAAACUCCUAGAAUAAAUCUUUAUAGAAAGUCCAUGAACUUCCCUAAACUAAUUUUUAUGGAUCCUGUGACGUAAGCAAUUGCAUAUAGUUUGAAUAUUCUUUUAUGGUAACAGAAGCCCUCGAAGCACCAACGCUCCUAAAUUUUUUUGUCUAUAAAUACACUUUGACAAACUCUUUUUCAUCGAAAACCAAAACCAAAACAAAACCACCGGUUUUUUUUUUUUGAAGUCUUUUUAAAUUUUGAGUUGAGUUUCAAUCUUUGAUUGUUUAGUUUAUCAAAAUGUCAGAGGAAGUAGUUUUGUUGGAUUUCUGGCCAAGUCCAUUUGGAAUGAGAAUGAGGAUUGCUUUGGCUGAGAAAGGGGUAAAAUACGAGUCAAAGGAAGAAGAUUUGAGGAACAAGAGUGAUUUGCUUUUGCAGAUGAAUCCUAUUCACAAAAAAAUCCCUGUUCUUAUCCAUAAUGGUAAACCUGUUUGUGAGUCACUCAUCCAGGUUCAGUAUAUUGAUGAGGUUUGGCAUCAUAAAUCUCCUUUGCUUCCUUCUGAUCCUUACCAAAGAGCUAUUGCCAGAUUCUGGGCUGAUUUUGUUGACAAGAAGGUACUUUUUUUUUGUUUUUUUACUUUUUUCUACUUUUUCUAAGUCUAAGUUUUCUUUGAUUUAGUCAGACUGACUUUGAAUUUUGGAGGGUUUUCUUUUUAUAUAUAAACAGUCUACUAAUUAAGCAUUGACUUAGAAAAAGUUGUGGUGAAUGUUAUUUUUUGGUAUAAUUGAUAUUGAAUCAAGCAGUGAGAGAUAACAUUCAUUCAUUUUCAUAAAUCUCAUCUCACCUGUAUAAACAUUUUCGUAAAUAAUAUAUAACGUGUUGUACCUAAAUUAUUGUUUAAUAAAAAUGCAGAUGCCUGACCUUGGGAGAAAAAUAUGGGCAACUAAGGGAGAAGAACAGGCAAAUGCAAAGAAAGAAUUUAUUGAGAGCCUGAAGCUGUUGGAAGGAGAGCUUGGAGACAAGCCUUACUUUGGUGGAGAAAAUCUUGGUUAUGUAGAUGUUGUCUUGGUCCCAUUUUACAGCUGGUUUUAUGCCUAUGAGAAGUGUGGUGACUUCAGCAUUGAAGCAGAGUGCCCCAAACUGCUUGCAUGGGCUAAAGGGUGUCUGGAAAAGGAGAGUGUAUCCAAGUCUCUUCCUGACCAAGAAAAAGUCUAUGGCUUUGUUUUGCAAAUGAAGAAAGUCUUUGGAAUUGAGUGAAAUUGUGGAGGGGUUUCAUGGUUGAUUUGAAUAAAUGGGCAUUUAGUAGUGCCUCGUUGUUUUGUGUUGUUGGGGUGAAUUUUUUUUUUUUUCCUGUUCUGAAAGAUAGUCAAAGCACUUAGAUUUGCAUGUGAUUCUGACUUGAAAUUUGAAGUUAUUAAAAAGAAAUACAUUUCCUAAAUGUUUUACCUGGUAUUUUUUGUGCACAUAUUCUUGUUAAUUUAAAUGUUUUUAUCAAUUUGGUAACCUGGCUGGUCUACUAUGACAAGAAUAGGAUGAAUUAUCAUUGAUGUCUUUUUUUUUUAUUGUAAGAAUGUUUUCCUAAUUUCAACUAAAAAAAUUGCAAGCCAUCUCUUUGUGAUUUUGUUUUAAAGCAUACUUAACUAAAUUUUGGAGAGGAUUGUAUAAGUCAAAAUCAUUUUCAAUUGAUGCCAAAAUUUGGACCUAAUUAACCAUUGCAAGGUUUUUCAAUAAAAAAUUUAAUUUUUGGUUUUUUUUUAUCUCUUUAAAUUAGAAUGUGAUGUAAUUAUCAUAUCAAUGUAUUAAGUAAUAAAUAAUUUAAGAAUUUUACAUAACAAAGCUCUUAGAUUAUUGAUAAUAAUUAUAUAUUAUUUUAUAUGAUGUUUAGAUCUUCAUCCUAAAGCGUAAAAAAAUUUUAUCAAGGGGAGUAAUUUUCAAAUCAUUUUAGAAUAAAUUAAAUUUCGGAUUGGUGUCCAUCAAAAUAUGUUUCUCUUUUUUUAUAAACAAAAUUUCACUUUUUAAUCAUUUUAUAUAAGACAAUUUAUAUAAUUUUAAAUAUGAAAAUGUUAAUAAUUUUGAAUCGUGCUCAUAAGAACUUGUUCAUACCUUAUAUCUUUUUAUAGAACAAUGAUUUUUAUUUUAUAAUUUUUUUUAUUCAAUAAAAAUUAAUAACGUUGCUUGCUUAAUAAUAAUAAUAAUAAUAAUAAUAAUAAUAAUAAUAAUAAGGUUAUUUUGAUUUUUUUUAAUUUUCAAUGAUUUUUUAUGCAAUAUAAAAAAUUAUUUAUAAUAUUAUAUUAAUCAUGAUAAUCAAAAAUAAUUACUCAUCAAAUUAUUUUAAUAAUUUUAUAACCACGAUAAUUAAAUCACUACAACUAUUUUAAAAGUGAUAAAAAAAAUAAUCUUCAACUUCAACUUUCUAUGAUUUUUGGAGGUUUAAUAUGUUUGGUACGAUAAUGGGCAUUUAAGCCCAAAAAAGGAGUUUUAAAAGGGAUGGGUAUGCCUACGAAUUAGGGUAGACAUUAAAUUUAUCUGAAUGUUAAUCGUGUCUCGAUUGAAUAUUUAUUGGAUAUCAGAUUCUCGAAUUAAGUUUUGAUUGCAAUUCAAUUAGGCUGAGGCCUAAUUUCAAUUUGAUUGGGCUUUUGGUUCGAUUUCAAUUCAAAUAGAUUUGAUUUUGAUUGGGCCUGAAGUCCAAUUUCGCUUUUAAGCGCAAAGCCUGUUUACCUUUUAUUUUAUUAAUUUAUUAAUUAAACAAAAAUACAAAAUACAAAAAUAUAAAAAUACAAAAAUACAAAAAAGUAAAAAAAGGCUGAUGGCAGUGGUGCCUUGCACGGCACCACUAGCCACCUACCCCUCGAUCACCCAUCCCUCUAAUCACCCAUACCCUGCAAACCUUAUCCACCCUAUCAACACUCCUAAAGCCCCAUGCCCAAUCAAUUCUAGAUCUUUACAAAAACCAAUUUGAAAACCCAAAAGCUCAAAGAGAGAAGACUGGAGGCAUUCCCUUUUCUAUGCCCAGACACUGCUCUGGAACUCAUCAGAAACCCCAGUCACACUGCUCUUGAACACCCAGAAACUCUAAGUCUCUCUCACCCAGAACCCCCAAACUCUCACACCCAAACAAUCCAGUCCCUGCCCGUCUCGAAAACCAUGCCUCCAUGCACCCUGCUAGGUACCUUCGACACAAACCAAUCCCCCCACCUAUAAAAAAAUUGAAAAACCCGAAACACCCAACCACAAUAAAAAAAAUAAAAAAAAUUCAUAAAAAAACAAAGAACAGUCCUUCAGUAGGAAGGAACCUAGCACUGAGAGUUCCUUGUGAAAAAAAAGAAAAGGAAAAGUCAGUAAGAAAAAAGAAAUAUCAAAAGUCAAAAAUAAUAAAAAAAAAGUUUUGACGAAACUUUGAAAGUCAAUCUAGGCCAUUUGGGACACUUUCAGGUGAAACCAAGCUCAGAUCUGUGCUCAGAGGGCAAAGAAAAAUUUUUUAGGAGUUUUUGAGAUUUUUUGGUGACCGACGACCGGCGAUUUGCGGUCGACCAACACCAAUGGCGGCCAGAGCGACGGAUGAUGACCGAUCGAUCGUUCUAGAGAGAGAGGAUUUGAGAAAGUAGAGAGAGAAAGGAAAAUGAGAAAAUGAGAGAAAUUUUUUUUUUUUACUUUUAUAAAAAACUGCAAGCCAAAAUAAUGCCAUUUCAUUAAAUGGUCAAAACCACGUCAUUUUGAGCUGAAAGAUUCGCACGUCAGCCCUUGACUCGACCCGAGGUCCACGCACUCGACUCGAUGACCCAUUUCACCUUUAGCUUCUGAUUGGUCUAACUGAACCGACAUCGAAUCACUAAAUGCUACCAGAUUGCCAGACCGUUAACCGGUUAAGUUCAGGUAAAAAAAUUUUUUUUUGAAUUUUUUAAAUAUUAUUUUUGUUAUUAAUAUUUAUGCAUGUUAAAAUGUUUAAAUUUGCUAGAAUAAUUUUUUUUAUAAUGUUAACAAAUAAAAAUAAAUAAUAAAAUAUAUAGUAAAAAUUUGUGAUAAUUUUGUUAUUUUUAAAAUAACUCUUAUAAAAUAAUAAAAAAUAAGAAAAAAUUUUUUUAUCCGACGAUGAGAUUCAAAGGUACUCCGAGUAGUGAUACCUACGAAAUCUCUAUGUGAAAAGAUUUUUUUUAAAUACUACCGAUGUAUUGGAGUAUGUAUAAAAAAUUUUCAAUACAAUAAAUUUUUUUUAUAAAAUAAUAAAUAAAAACUAAUUAAUAAAUUAAGAAUAGGUAAUAAAAAAUGACAAAAAGGAAAUUUUAUCCAACGAUGAGAUUUUAAAAGUAUUUCGAGUAGAGGUGCUUUAAAAAAAAUCCCUAGGUGAGAAAUUUUUUAAAUAUUAUCAGUGUAUUGGAAUAUUUAUAGAGAAUCUUCAAUAUAAUAAAAAUUUCUCUUUUUUAUUUUUAAUUAAAAAUAAUAAUAAAAUUUAAUAAAAUUUUUGAAUAAAAAAUAUAAAUGUGUGCAUCAACAUGCUAGCAUUCGCAUUGCAUGCACGAUAUAAAGGUUUUUUUUUAAAAUAAAUUUGAGCAUCCGAGGAUGAGAUUCUAAGGUAUUCUGAGAAACGAUUCCUAAGAAAUCUCUAGGUGAGAAAAAAUUCUUUCAAUGUUACCAACGUAUUGAAACAUUUUAAUAAUUAUUUCAAUAAAAAGGUUCUAAUUUAUUUUCCUCGAAUAAAAUUUGAAUAAUAAACUUUAAAAAUUUUUUCUAAUAAACGAAAAAAUCAAGAAAAUUAUUUUUCAAACACCGAAAAUGAGACUGUUUUUUUAUCAAAAUCAAAAGGAUAACACGUAGUUAAUUGGUACCGUUAUAAACAGGCGUUGUGGGGGUGCUAAUCCUUCCCCUCACAUAAUCGACUCCCAAACCCAGACUAUUUCGCAGACUAUUUCGUAGACCAUAAAAUUACUCUUUUAAUAAAUUUUAAUUAAUCUUAAAAUCUUAUUAAAAGGAUAAAUUUUAAUAGGUGACCAAUCUCACUUAGCCAAAAAAGAUUGGUGGCGAUUCCAUUUUUCGUUCUUUUAUUUUCGUUUCCAAAUUCGUCAGGCGACUCCAAAGCCGUUGCAACAACUUGGCGACUCCGCUGAGGAUGCUUUUUAUUUUCGAGAGUCAGGCCAAAAUUAACUACGUGUUAUCCUCAAAUUUUGGUUUAAAUAGUCCUAAUAGGUUUCUUAGAUUUUUAUUUUUCACUUUUAACAAAAAAAAAGUCAAGAAAAAAAAAUCAAAAAGAAAAAAAUUUCCCUUACGUUUCUUUUACUAUGCCUCUUGUGCUUUAUUUUUCUAUAUAUAUUACUCUUAAUAAAUUAGGAUAUAUUUGCGUAUACAAUGACAUAAUGCAUCUCAUGUAUAAGCUCUAUAUCUAAGCUACGUCCCUUGUAGAAGGAAGUAGAGUACCUAUACCCUCGUGAGGUGAUAACCUCUACAAUGACAAACGAAAUACUUCUACUCAAAUUGAACCAUUUUCGUUCAUAGCCUAUAAUGGGUGAAGAUCGGUGUCUCUCACUAGUCUAACAUGGACAACAAUGAGGAACAAUUUGGAAACCUUUAGACACGUGUAAAUCCAAACUCAGCAUGUAAUAAGCGUAGAAAAUUAGCCUUAGGUAGAAUAUCUCCACCUUCUUGUAAGAAAUACCUAAGAAUAAAAGUUGUGUGUAAUACAAAACAAAACAAAACAAAAGAAAUCUAAAAACUUACAAAAAAAUGUUUUUUCUCAAAUCGCAUCUUCACACUAACUAAAUUUUGUUUCAUUUUUUUUCCUUUUUGUAUUAAUCAUAUCAUAUAGUUCUGCAUUAAGAUAUAUGCUCUAGGACAUAUUUCUCCCAAGAAGUUUUCAUGGAUCCCAUAGAACUAUAGAUUUGUCGAUCCUCAGUUAGUGUCCCAUGUGAGCCAUAUAAUGAAGUAUAUGUUUGGUCGAAAAAAGCUCAACAAAAGAAUAAAGAUUGCUUGCCUAUUGGCUAUGUGUCUGAGUUACCCAAUAAGGUGCAUUUGGAUCUCACACAGAAUAAUUUAAAAGACUUAGCCACCAUCUAAGGUCAGUUAAGUGAAGAAAGGAAAGAAAGCUUUUGUAAGAAGUACAAAUAGAUUGCAUUCCUUAUUCUAGUAAUGAUCGAUAAACAGCUGAUUAAGGUAGCUAUACAGUUUUGGGAUCCAUCCUAUAGAUGCUUCAUUUUUAAUCAGGAAGAUUUGGUGUCAACUAUUGAGGAAUAUUCAAUUUUGCUUGGGAUAGAACUAUAAUGUCAAGAGAAAGUGUUUACCCAAAAGCUGAAAUCAGGUUAUCAUAAAAAGUUAGCCAAACUUAUAGGGGUUAAAGUAGAAAUCAUUAAUUCCUUCGCAAAGCCUAAAGGUGAACAUCUUGACAUCCAUUGGGACUUUAUCUGAAAUUGUAUUAAGGAGUAUUUAAAUGAUGAUCAAGGCAUUGAUGUGUUUGCUUUAGCAUUGUAUGGCAUGGGUAAUCUUUUCGAAGACUUUGGGUUACAUUAAGAUAACUGUGGUGAAUAUUUUUGAGCAAAUUGAAACCCAAGCAAUUAAUCUCGCACCAGUAGUCUUAGCAAAAACCAUCCGAUCAUUGAAUUUUUGUUGAAGAAAUGAAAACGGAUGGUUUAUAAGAUGUGCAUCGCUAUUUUAUGUAUGGGUUAGAAGUCAUUUCAAAUGUGAGAAGAAUGCAUUUUUAAAGUUGUAUCUUUAAAAUAAGACACCAAUCGAAGAAUUCUACAGAAGUCAAGGGCUGACAUUGAAGACCAAAUAAAAGUGGGUUUUAUUCUUGCGAAGGUUUACUGGGGAUGAAAUUGAAUGGAUGACACCUUGGAUGCCUCGGGUGCCCUUAUUGUAUUGUAAAGGAAACGAGCCAUGGAUACCGCUAUUAGGGCUAUGGGGUAUUGUAAGUUACGCUUCGUUGAUGGUGCUAAGGUAAUUUGGUGCAAAGCAGUUUGUUCCUGCCACUCAUGGUCUGGUUUAAGUAAAAUUCAUUUAUGGGAAACCGAAUCCAUAAAAAAUCUUAGAGCAAUUGACAAGGAUUUAAAUUGUGGUAACGGUCACGUUUUCGAUCGCAUCGUGUUUGUCAUGGUUGCGGAUAUAACGGAGACCUUUGCGGUCAUUGCGACUAUUGCGAUCGUGAAUUUUUUUAAAUUUUGCUCAACUUGCUAUAAAAAUAUAAUAAUUUUAAUUAUUAAUCAUAAAACCUUUUAUUUUAGGAUUUUUAAAGUAAUUUAUAUCAUAUCAUGUGUUUUAUUUAUUUAAGAAAAAAUAUUUAUAGUAAAAUAUUCAUAUUUAAAAAAUAUUUAUAUGAUAAUUAAAAAAUAAAAAGAGAUAAAUAAAUAUGUGAAAAAUAAAUAAUCAUAACAAAUAAUAUAUUUAAUUAUUUAAUUACCAUACUCAUCAAAUUAUUAUCGAACUAUAUUAUGCAUAAAUCAAAUAAUAAGUGAUUAAGUAUUCAUAAAUUAAGUAAGAGCAUUAUUAUUUAUGAGUCAAAAUAAUUGCUUUUUAUGAACUUACAGUAAAUCAAACUUGACAGCCUUCAUGUUAUGGUCAAUUUUCAACAAUAGUAACCCCAAGUCUACUUCUCUUAUCUUUUGACUAAAUUGCGCAAACCCAUACAACUUUUUAUCCCUUCACCUUUUAUUCAAUAAUUUUUUUUCUCCAAACCUUCAUCCUCAUCCCCAUCUCUCAGUUCUCUUUUUAUUUGGUGCGUGCUAUCUGCUUGCUUCUAUAAAUCUCAAGUUUCACUCUCAUCUCUUAUCUCUUAUUUUAAGUCCUAGUAACUCUUGCCUCCUUCUAUCAAUGUAACAUAGCCCAAUCUAAUCCCAAACACAUAAAAUCAUAGCAAAUUUGGAAAUUAAAAAAAAAAGAUAAUUUGAGUGUUGAAUUAAUUGUUUACGUUAAAUUACAUAUACUUGAUUUUGAUUGAAGUUGAACUUGAGAGAAUUGAUUUUUUUGAAAGUUUAAGUUUUAUGGGUUUUUUUUUUUUUUUUUUCUGAAUUUGUAAAUUGAUGUUUAUUUUCUUUCUUGUUGUUUUUAUUUUAAGUUUUUAAGCAAAAUCAAAUGAUUUUUUUUUUAAAUUUUUGAAUGAAAAUAGGAAUAGCGGCAAUAGCGGUAAUAGCGGGUAAUAGUGGUAAUAGCGGGCAAUAGCAGACCGCUAUUACCGCUAUUCGUCGUUAUACCGCAAUUCACGAUCGCGAUUCAUCCACUAUAGACAAGAUUCAAAUUUUCUCUUAUUUUUUCUUCAAUAACGGUGACGGAUAGUGGCGCGAUCGUGAAAUAAUGGUCACGACAUCGCUAUUCGACCGCUAUUUGAAUCCUUGGCAGUUGAUCCAAGUAUGGAAGAGAACACGAAGAAUGAGGUUAGAGCCUCUCAUCGAUAAAGUCACCAUUGAUUAUCAAAUUUGGAAGGUAAAACAGAUUAGAAAUGUAAUACUCUCUCUUGAUGACAGCUCAUAUCAAUCAAUUAAUCUUUCAGAAGAGGUGCAAUUAUCAGAAGUUAAGCUUGUUAAGAAAGAAUUAUAAGCUGAAAAAGAAGAAAUAAGAAGAGAAAAAUUGAGACUUUGUGAGAAUGUGGGAUAACUGAAGUAUGAAACAGAGAUACAAAAGAGCAUAUAAGAAAAAACCUUAAAAGAAUGAGAUGUGGCCAAUAAUGAUUUGAAAGAUCUGCAUAAAGAAAAUAAAAGGUUACAAGUCCAAUUCAAGACUGGAAAUGUCACUAAGUCUUACCUUAGUUGGCAACGUGAAAUGGAUAAGCUCUGAGAAAAAAUGAACUAAUUGAAGGGUAAAGCUCAAGAAAAGCAUGAUGAGAUUACCAAAAUUUCUCAAAAAUGUCAAAAUUGGAAGGGGUUAUACUCUACAACCUGAGCAAGAUUGAUGGAAUGCCAAAAAAAAAAGAAAGGUUGAAAGCCAUGCUUGCAAAAGAGAGAAGAAAGCACUUUGAAGUACUGAAUGAAAAAGAAUCACUUCACUAGGUGAUCCAAGGGUUAGAGAUGCAACUACGAGACCACAAGAGCCAUAUGUCAGUAAUAAUAGAUGAGUGGCAUAGAAGAAAAAAAGAUUGAAUCUUCACAUAUGAUUCAAAAAGAGAUGCUCACAUGAUAUGGAAAACAAAAAGCUUAGAGAGGCAAUAGUACAUAGAGUACCUGACUAAUCAAGUUUGCAAGGCAGUGAAAAAAGCAUGAAAUGGUUGAAAAGGUAGAAGUAUUAAGAAAAGAAGUCAAUCCCAUAAGAGAAUAUGGAUAGCACCUAAUGAAACUUUCUAGAUGAGGUGAAGGACUAUUAUGAACAAGUCAAACACUUUUAUGGAUAUAAUUCUAGGAUGGUAAAUCUCAUGUAAUAAAAGUUGUAUGGAAUCAAUAAAAAUUUUUAGUGUUGAAAUUCAUCCAAGAGCAAAUAUCUCCCACUUGCAUUCAUGAAUCAUGUACAUCAUUUUCAAAAAUAAAAUUUUCAACACAUAACAUUUUGAUUGUUUUCUCUUUUUCAAAAAAAAACUUUGUGGUAAUAAUGGUUUAAGAAUAGCUCGUCCAUAAAAAAUUUUGACCCAACCUACUUGUAAUUCAUACAAUACUAAGACUCAAAUAAGAAUCAUGGAGUAAGAACAGGUCAGUCGAUUUGAUAAAAUUAAGAAAGUUCAAGAACUAAAAGGGGAUCUCGGUACAAUAAUGGAUAUGCUCAAGAAACUUGACAAGAGAAAAGUAGUUGAAAAAAAUCUUAGCUUUCAAGAGUAAUCAUCAGAUACGGUAGAUCUUAUUUACCUUCUAGGGUUUGAGCCAUGACUUUUUGUACAAAUUCUUACUUCCGAUAGAUAUCUCAAUCUUUAUCCAAGAAUGACAUCCACAUUUGUUCCAAGAUAAUUUCAAAAUUUUAUUAAUCCCGUUAUGAUGGAAAAAUCACUUGAGCCAAUUUUAGUUCCUCAUUUGAAUGAUCCCAAAGAGAGAGAAAAGCUAAGGAUAAAGAUACUUGAAAAAGUGAAAGAUACCAGUGCUCGAGAGAAGAUAAAGUUAUUGGAAGAAAGGCUUAGGGCCGUAGAAAGAAUGAAUUUUUAUGGCUCCAAGGAUGCAGCUGACCUUUUGUUUAGUCCCAGAUGUGGUCAUUCCAUCAAAAUUUAAGGUUCCUGAAUUUAAAAAAUAUAAUAGCACAAAAUGCCCAAUGACUCAUAUCACCAUGUAUUGUCAUAAAAUGGCAGCACAUGCUCGUGACGAGAAGUUGUUGAUGCACGUAUUUUAAGAUAGCCUUACGAGAUCUGUAAUCAGAUAGUAUGUUCAACUAGACAUGACUCGUAUUCAUUCCUGACAAGAGCUCAUAAGGGCAUUUCUUACACAAUAUCAACAUGUUAGGGAUCUAGCUCCAGAUCGUCUAUCUUUACAAGGUAUGAAAAAAAAAACAACUGAUAGCUUCAAAGAAUAUGUAUAAAGAUAGAGAGAUAUGACUGCACAAGUACAACCUUCCUUCACUAAGAAAGAAACAACUGUUUUAUUUAUGAACAUCCUAAAAGCACCAUACUAUGAAAGACUGAUAGGCAAUGUAACCAAGAACUUUACAGAUAUGGUGAUAUCAGGUGAGAUCAUUAAAAACAUCAUAAAAAUGGCAAGCUCGAUGCAAGAGAGACAAAUGGAGCAAAGAAAGGUGAAGCUCUUAAAAAAAAGAGAAUGAAGCUCAAACGAUGAACUAUAUGGGGUAACAGUUCAGAGGUUUCACAUUCUACCCUGCACUAAUCUACCAAACCAUUACCUCCUAUAAAUAAUAUUACAUCCACUCCUCAUCCAUAUCAGCCAUACCAGCUAUUACCACAACCAGCGUAUCCACCCCAGUUUCAAUCAUCCUUUCGGAUACCCACCUAUUCUUACAACCGUCCUAUUGCACCUACAAUACCAGAACGAAGACUUUGUUCAAAUAGUGGUCCGAGAGCUUCAAGAAAUAUCCAAUAAAAACUCAUUUUUAACCCUAUUCUCAUGACAUAUACUGAUUUAUACCCUUAGCUUAUUGAGAAACAUUUACUAGCCCCUAUUAUUAUUGAGCCUUUGAAACCUCUAUUUCUUAAAUGAUAUGAUCUUAAUGCGCAUUGUGAUUAUCACUAUAGGAACCCGGGUCAUUCCAUUGAAAACUAUACUGUUUUGAAACAUAAAAUGUAAGGGUUAAUCAAUGAUGUGGUGUUAAAUUUUGAAACCAGCCAACGAGAAACUUCAAAUGUUAAUGGAAACCUCUACCGAAUCAUACUAUACCAUCAAUAAAUGCUUUAAUUGAUGGGUAAGCAAGCUAUGUGAAAAAAUGAUAGAGAAAGUUAAAACUCGGAUGGCUAAGGUGUUUGAAGCCUUGGUUAUGGUUGAUACGUUAAGAUCAAUAGAACUUUAGCAUUACUCUAAAGCAAUUAAUCCUACUGAAAGUUAUAAUUAUCGUAAAGGUGCUUUGGGACAUUCUAUCAAGAGUUGUCAUCAAUUUUAUCAAGAAGUACAAAAGUUGAUGGAUAUGGGUCGGAUAGAGUUUUACGAAGAAAGAGAAAGGUUGACGAAAGUUAAAGUGUCUACCAUUGAUUCAAAGAAUAAGUUUAUGCGUAGACCAAUAAUAAUUUAUUAUGAUGAGAAGUCAACAUCGAGGCCAGAAAAACCUACCUUCCGACCAAUAGUGAUAAUUAAACUUUCUAGCCUUUUUUCAUACCAGAAUGAUAAAGCAGUAUUGUGGAAGUAUGAUUGUGAUGUCGUUGUCAACCCAAAUACUGCGAACAUAAUGGGCGUAGGAGGUAUGACUCAAAGUGGAAGAUGUUAUACUUUAGAAGCUUUAGAGAAAGCUAAAAAAGAGAAAGCAAAGGUGGGAAAAGAAGAGGAAAGUCAAAAUAAUCUCGCUGCAGUCUCAGAAAAAAAAUGUCAGAAGUUGGUCUCUGAGCGUGAAGCUUGUGAAUUCUUAAAGCUAAUAAAAUAUAGCAAGUAUAGCAUGGUAACAACUGAACAAGAUGCCAGCUACGAUUUCACUAUUUUUAUUAUUGCUUAGUUCAGAGUCGCACCAUAAUAUUUUGUUAAAAGUGCUAAAUCAAGCAUAUGUGUCUCACAAUGCUUUUGUUGAAUUUGCGGAACAACUUCUAGGUAAUCUGAUAAUUUCAAAUUAUAUCUCUUUCAGUGAUAAAGGGAUCCCUCCUGAAGGUCAAAAAGUACCAAGGCUCUCCACAUUAUUGUAAAGUGCAAGUGUCAUAUAAUGGCUAAGGUUUUGAUCAAUAAUGGCUCAUUCAUCAAUAUUAUGCCUAUGACUACUCUGGCAAAACUCCCUGUUAAUGGAUCUUAUAUGAAACCUAAUCAUAUGAUAGUCCGAGUCUUUGAUAAGACCCGAAAAGAGGUGUUAAAAGAUAUAGAAAUACCAUUAUAGAUUGGCCUGUGCACUUUAAACGUGAAAUUCCAAGUUAUAGAUAUCUCUCCCUCGUAGAGAAGGUAAAAAAACCCGUAACCGAUGGGUUUCAACUCGACCCGACAUUUUAGGGUCAAUUUUUUUUUUUUGAAAAUCGAGUAUCGGGUCGGGUGGCAUGAAGAGAAAGUCAGGGUCGGGUUUUAGGCAAACCCGACCCGACCCGACCCGAUAUAUAUAUAAAAAUAAUUUUUUAAAUUAUUUAUUUAAUUUUAUAAUUAUUUUUAUAUAUUUUUAUAUAUUUUUAAUUUUAUAUUUAUAUUAAAAUAAUAUUUUAUUAAUUUCGGGUCGGGUCAGAUUGGAUAUGAUUUUAUAUAAUGUCGGAUCGGAUCGGGUCGGGUUUGGGUUUUUCAUGUUUAAAGUCAGGUCGAGUUCGGGACGAGCAAAAACCUGCCUCAACCUGACCCAUUGCCAUCCCUACUCCAUCGUACAGUUGCUUAUUGGACAGGUCAUGGAUUCAUAUGGCACGUGUUAUUCUAUCCUCAUUGUAUCAGAAAGUCAAAUUCAUUAUUGAUAGAAAAUUGACAUGUAUGGUAGGAGAAAAAAAUUUAUUGGUCACCCAACCAGUAAAUAUUCCUUAUGUAAAAGCAGCAAAUGAAGCCUUAGAGUGCUUAUAUAGAUUUUUUGAGAUUGCUAAUGCAACACAUAUGGCUGAAGGAUCUAAAUUAUAUUCAUCACACAUGUCUAUGACUUCUAAAAUGGUCGUUAAAUAGCUUACUAGAAUGGGAUGGCAACCUGAAAUUGGACUAGAAAAGAACCGACAAGGAAUCAUAGAGCCACCAACAGUAUAUGACAAGAAAAACAUAUUCGACUUAAGAUAUAAGCCAACAAAAAGGGACAAAAUGAAAAUGGUGAAUGAGAAAAAACAUAUGAGAGUGGCUAAUCUUGGAGGAUAUGAGCUAGAGUCAGAGCCCAUGAUCAUUCCUUACCUCUAUGAUUCUUUUUCGUUCGGAAGGAUAUAUCUAGCUAGAUUUACUUAAAAGUCUGAAUACAAAAUUUGUGAAAGAGUUUUCAGAGCUAGCCAUUCAAAUGGUGGAUGAUGAAGAAAAGAAGAGACGAGAUGAAGAGCUAUUCAUGCACCAUUGUCUUUCAGAUUUUGAGCUAAAUAACUGAAGAGUCAUAGAACUGCCUGUUAUCUUUAAAACUUCUAAAAAGUAAUGUAUUGUGAAACUUUACAUCCCUAAUUGCUUUUAUAAGCAUUGGGUGAUCUUUUGUGGUGUCUUUAUAUUUGUCAUUUUAAUAAAAGACUUAAAAGAUGCAUCUAUAUUUCUUCUAUUAUUUUCAUCUUUAUUUUGCUUUUCAUUUUUUUUCAUCAUUUUCUUACCAUUCCAUUUUUGUGUGCCAAUAUUCUUUUUAUCUUACCCUUUGCAGGGUCUCAAAUAAUGAACACAAAGAUAAUCAGGGCAAUAAUCUCGAAUUUGAUUUCAAAAUCUUAAUUCAUGUUGAUAAACUUAAUAAUGAGAAAGAUUCAGAUAACUACACACUACCUUUUGAUUUGUUAAAAUUAAUAGAACAUGAAGAUAAGCCAAUUGAACCCUACCAAAAAAUUAUCAAAUUAGUGACUUUGAGAGACGGUGAAAACAAAAGAGAGGUCAAAGUUGGUAUAUCCCUUUUAACAGCUGAAAGGUAAAAGUUAAAAGAAUUACUCCGAGAAUAUGUAGAUGUGUUUCAUGGUCUUACCAGGAUAUAUCAAGACUUAGCAUUGAUAUUUUAAAGCACAGGUUGCCUUUGAAACCAAAAUGCAAGCUGAUGCAACAAAAGCUAAGGCGUAUGAAGUUGAAGAUGUUGCUGAAAAUUACAGAAGAAGUGAAGAAGCAAUUUGAUGCUGAAUUUUUUAAGGUGAUAAAAUAUCCCGAAUUGGUAGCCAACAUAGUGUCAAUUUCCAAGAAGGAUAAAAAAGUGAGAAUGUGUGUCGAUUAUCGAGAUCUGAAUAAGGUAAGCCCUAAAGAUAACUUUUCUCUACCCCAUAUUGAUACUUUAGUAGAUAAUACUGCUAGACACUUAACAUUUUCCUUUAUGAAUGGCUUCUUAGGCUAUAAUCAAAUCAAGAUAACCCAAGAUGAUAUGGAAAAAACCAUAUUCAUGACCAUGUAGGGGAUAUUCUAUUACAAAGUCAUGCCUUUUGGGUUGAAAAAUGCUAGUGCCACUUAUCAAAGAGCAAUGGUGUAUUUUUUUUAUGACAUGAUGCAUAAAGAGAUAAAAGUAUAUGUGGAUGAUAUGAUUGCAAAAUCUCAUGAAAUAGAAGAUCAUGUAGUCAAUCUAAAAAAGUUAUUUGAUAGGUUGAGAAGAUUUCAGCUGAAGUUAAAUCCUGCUAAAUGUACAUUCGGUGUCAAAUAAAAAAAACUACUAGGAUUUGUGGUUAGUGAAAGAAGAAUCGAAGUAGACCCGAAUAAGAUACAAGCCAUCCAUAAUUUAUCUCUUUCAAGUACUUCAAAAGAAGUGUGAAGUUUCCUAGGGAGAUUGAACUAUAUUGCUCGCUUCAUCUUUCAACUCACCUACAAGUGCAAUCUUAUUUUCAAGCUUCUUAAAAAAUAUGAUCUAAAAGAAUUGAAUGAGAAAUGUCAAGAAGCUUUUGAUAAGAUCAAAGAAUACUUGUUAAAUCCACCUGUGUUGGUGCCACCAAUCCUGAGAAAACCUUUGAUUUUGUACUUAACAGUGCACAAAAAUUCAAUAGGAUGUGUGUCAGGGCAAAGAGAUAAAAAUGAUAGGAAAGAAUGAGCAAUUUACUACUUGAGCAAGAAAUUAACUAAUUACUAGUCAAAGUAUUCACUAUUAGAGAAGAUAUGUUAUGCAUUGGCUUAGACAGCUCAAAGGCUCUGACAAUACAUGCUUUAUCAUACUACUUGACUCAUAGUAAAGUUGGAUCCCAUUAAGUACAUCUUCGAGAAGCCCUUAUUGACAAGAAGGAUAGUUUAGUGGCAAGACAUGCUUUUAGAAUAUGAUAUUAUUUAUGUAACUCAAAAGGCUAUUAAAGAAAGUGUAGUAACUGAGUUCUUUACCGAUCACACUGUUGAAAAUUAUGAACCAAUGAACCUAAAUUUUCCUGAUAAAGAUGUGAUGGCUAUUGAAGAAAAUGAACCUAUUGAAGAGUCUUGGAAAAUGUAUUUUAAUGGAACCAUAAAUGUUUUAAGCCAUGGUAUUAGAGCAAUCUUAAUAUCUCUCGAUGGGUAUUAUUAUCCCAUCACAGCCAGGUUGAAUUUUAAUUGCACAAAUAAUGUAGCUAAAAAUGAAGCCUGUGUUAUAGCUUUGCAAGCAAUAGUUGAAAAAAAAAUCAAAGUGUUAAAUGUAUUUGGAGAUUCAACUUUAGUCAUCUAUCAGUUACGAGAAGAAUGAGAAACAAGAGAUUCCAAGUUGAUUUGAUACCAUAAAUACAUCUUUGAGUUGAUCAAACUAUUCAAAGAAGCUCAAUUUAUGCAUCUACCUAGAGAAGAGAACCAAAUCGCUAAUGCACUGGCUACCCUAACUGCAAUGAUUAAAAUAUAUGCAAAUAUUAAAAUCCAACCCAUCAAACUGGAGGUGAAGGAUGAACCAGUACAUUGUUCAGGUGUCGAAGAAGAAAUUGAUGGGAAGCCAUGGUAUCAUGACAUUAUGCAAUACAUUAAAAGCCAACAAUACCCAAAACAUGUAACAAAAAACGAUAAGAGGACUAUCAAAAGAUUGGCUAUAAGUUUUUUCUUAGAUGGAGAUAUCCUCUAUAAAAAAGGUCGAGAUCAAAUACUUUUAAUAUGUGUGAAUGUAGCUAAAGCAAAAAGGAUUAUUGAAGAAGUACAUGAAAGAAUUUGUGAGGCACAUAUAAAUGGUCAUAUGAUGGCAAGGCAAAUUAUGAGGGCCGGUUACUAUUGGUUGACAAUGAAGAGUGACUGUAUUAAUUAUGCUAGAAAAUGCCAUAAGUGUCAGAUUUAUACUGACAAGAUCUAUGCUUCUUUAAUAACAUUGCACGUUUUGGCUCUUUCAUGGCCAUUCUCUAUGUAGGGCAUGGAUUUUAUCGGUCCCAUUACUCUACAAGCUUCGAACGGGCAUAGAUUCAUCUUUGUGAUGAUUGAUUACUUCACCAAAUGGGUAAAAGCUGCAUCAUAUGCUAGCGUGACCCGAUCUGUGAUAUACAAGUUCAUAAAAAAUGAGAUAAUAUACAGAUAUAGGCUUUUAGAGAUAAUUAUUUUUUAUAAUGCCAAAAACUUGAACAACAAAAUGAUUAAUGAAGUGUGCACUCAAUUCAAGAUCCAUUAUCAUAAUUUGGCAUCAUAUCGUCCAAAGAUGAAUGGAGCAGUAGAGGCUGCAAACAAGAAUAUCAAAAGAAUAUUGGAGAAAAUGAUUGAUACCUAUAAGGAUUAACAUAAGAAGUUAUUUUUUGCUUUGCAUGCUUAUAGAACAUCAGUCUCAACAUUUACUAGGGCCAUCCCGUUCUCUUCGGUAUAUGGAAUGGAAGUUGUGUUACCAGUCAAAGUGAAAAUUCCUUCAUUGAGAGUCCUGAUAGAGUUAGAGUUAGAGGAAGCAGAAUAGGUUUAAAAUCGCUAUGAACAAUUGAACCUCAGUGAAGAGAAAAGACUUACAGCACUUUGUGAUGGUCAAUUAUAUCAAAAGAAGAUAAUGAAAGCAUAUGACAAGAGAAUCCAUCAUCGUUGCUUUAGGGAAGAAGAUUUAGUGCUAAAAAAGAUCCUUCCAAAUCAACAUGACAAUCGAAAAAAAUGGACACCAAAUUAAAAUGGCCCGUACGUGAUGAAAAAAGGCUUUUUCUAGUGAGGCAUUGAUUUUAAUAGAGAUGGAUGAAGGUGAUUUACCUACUUUGAUAAAUUUAGAUGUUAUAAAGAAAUAUUUUGCUUAAAAAAAAGUAAAAACAAAAAGUGGAAAAGAAUGAUGUAUCUAAGCUGAAAACCUAAAAACUGUGGCUUGGAUGCAAAGGAAAAGCAUCAUCCCACAACACAAGGGCAAGUAUAGUUUGACGAACUUUGAAGUAUCAAGGAAGUCAUUUGAUUUAGUUUUAGAAAAAGAAUCUGAGAAUAUUUUGUUCAUGAUUAUCUCAUGAUCAUUAUUUGGACACCUUUGUUUCGACUCAAACACUUUUGUUGUAAUGCACUUAUUAUCAGUCUAAUGAAAUAUGCUAUCUUUCUUUUGAAAAUAAUGCCUAUCCAUUCCUUUUUUCUCAUUUGAUAUUUUUGUUCACUGUACAAAUAAGAAAAAUGUGUGAUUACAUUUUGUUUGUCUUUAACUUAAAAUGAUGAAAAGGAAAACAAACAUGAAAGAUCUUAGCAUUACUUUUUAAAAGUUGACAAAAACAGAUGAGAAAGGAUGAGAAAUGCAUGACAAGACAUUAAUGUUGCAAAUUUUUGAAGAAAAAAAGUGUUGUUAGGGAAGAAUACAAUGUUCAGAUGUUAAAAACAGAUUGGUCAUAUGCAAUUGUUCAAGAACCUUUUUACUAUAAUGAACAAUUUUGAUUGCAUUACAUGCAUUGCAUUUAGAGCACUCAGUACAUGCAUUCAUGAGCAGCUAUAAUAAGGACAAAGACUUUCCAUUUCCUAAUGAAAAAUAAGAUUUUGAUAUUUGGAUAAAGAUAAUAAUCAAACAAAAGAUUUCAAAAAAGAGAAAUUUACUUGUUCAAAGAUGAAAACUCGAUUUCGAGAACAGAUGAGAUUUUUUAAAGUUGUUGAGCCUCUACUAAGAAGAGCUUUUUUAAGAUAAAAUUUUAAAGUUGUUGAGCCUCUGCUGAGAGGAGCCUUUUUCAAGAUGAAAUUUUUAAAGUUGUUGAGCUUCUACUUAGAAGAGCUUUUCCAGAUAAGAUUUUUAAAAUUGUUGAACCUCUGUUGAAAAGAGUUUUUUUUCAAGAUAGAAUUUUAAAGUUGUUACACCUCUACUGAGAUGAGCUUUUUCAAGAUAAAAUUUUAAAAUUUUUAAGCCUCUACUGAUAUGAGCUUUUUUCAAGAUAAAUCUUUAAAAUUGUUGAGCCUCUGCUGAGAGAAGCCUUUUUUAAGAUGAAAAUUUUAAAGUUAUUGAGCUUCUAUUGAGAUGAGCUUUUUUUCAAAAUGAGAAUUUUUUUUUAAGUUAUUAAUCUUCUAUUAAGAGGAACUUUUUUUAGAUUUUAAAUUUUCAAAAGUUGUCGAGCCUCAAGUGAGAGGAGCAUUUUUUAUUUGAUGAGAAAAAGUUUUUGAGUAGUUUAAGUUUAAAAAAAAAAUCUAUUUGGAUUCCAGACAAAAUUGUUGUAUUUGUCUUUGCCUUUGCCCUAUUCCUGAUUCUCAACAAUGCGCAAAGAGAGGCAGCUAUAGACAUCAAAUUUGUCCAGAUAUUAAUCAUGUCCCGAUUGAAUAUUUAUUAGAUAUCGGGUUCUCGAACUAAGUUUUGAUUACAAUUCAAUUAGGCUGAGGCCCAAUUUCAAUUCGACUGGGUUUUAGGCUCGAUUUCAAAUCAAAUAGACCUGACUUUGAUUGGGUCCAAAGUCCAAUUUCGUUUUUAAGCCCAAAGCCUAUUUGUUUUUUAUUUUAUUUAUUUAUUAAUUAAACAAAAAUACAAAAUACAAAAAUAUAAAAAUACAAAAAAAUAAAAAAAUAAAAAAAAGGCUGAUGACAGUGGUGCCUUGUAAGGCACCACUGGCCACCCACCCCUCUGAUCACCUAUACCCUACAAACCUUAUCCAUCCUAUCAAUACUCCUGAACCCCCAUGCCAUAGCCCCAUGCCCAAUCAAUUCUAGAUCUCUACAAAAACUAGUUUGAAAACCUAAAAGCUUAGAGAGAGAAGAUUGGAGGCAUUCCCUCUUCUAUGCCCAGACAUUGCUCUAGAACUCAUCAAAAACCCCAGUCACACAGCCCUCGAACACCUAGAAACUCUAAGUCUCUCUCACCCAGAACCCCUAAACUCUCACACCCAAAUGAUCUAGUCCCUACCCUCCCAGAAAACCAGGCCUCCACACACCCUGCCAAGUACCUUCGACUCAAACCAAUCCCCCCACCUAUCAAAAAACUAAAAAACCCGAAACACCCAGCCACAAUUAAAAAACAAAAAUAAUUCAUAAAAAAAAACAAACAGCAGUCCUCCAAUAGGGAGGAACCUAGCGUCGAGAGCUCCCUGUGAACAAAAAAAAAAGAAAAGUCAAUAAGAAAAAAAAAUAUCGAAAGUCAAAAAUAAUAAAAAAAAGGUUUGGCCAAAACUUUGAAAGUCAAUCUAGGCCAUUUGGCACACUUUCAGGUGAAACCAAGCUCAGAUUUGUGCUCAAGCGACAAAAGUGAGUUUUUUAAGAGUUUUUGAGAUUUUUCGGUGGUCGACAACAGGCGAUUGGUGGCCGACCACCACCGAUGGCAGCUGGAGCGACGGACGAUAAUUGGUCGACCAUUUUAGAAAAAGAGGGUCUGAGAGUGUAGAGAGAGAGGGAGAAGAGAAAAUGAGAGAAAUUUUUUUUUUGACUUUUAUAGAAAUCUAAAAACCAAAAUGACGUCGUUUCAUUAAAGGGUCAAAACGAUGUCGUUUUGAGCCGAAAGAUCUACAUGUCAGCCCUUGACUAAACCUGAGGUCCGUGCAAUCGACCCGAUGACCCAUUUCACCUUUAGCUUCUAACCGGUUUAACUGAAUUGGCACCAAAUGGCUAAACCAGAGCCAGAUCGACCCCGAACCGUUGAACGCGACCAGACUAUUGGACCAACGUUAAUCGGUCCGAUUUAGGUAAAAAAAAUUAUUUUUUUGAAUUUUUUUUAUUCUUUUUAAAUAUUAUUUUUAUUAUUUUAAAUUUGUUAUUAAUAUUUAUGUAUGUUAAAAUGAUUAAAUUUGUUAGAAUAAAUUUUUGUUAUUUAUAAUAUUAACAAAUAAAAAUAAAUAAUGAAAUAUAUAGUAAAAAUUUGUGAUAAUUUUGUUAUUUUUAAAAUAACUCUUAUAAAAUAAGAAAAAAUAAGAAAAAAGAAAUUUUUAUCUGACGAUGAGAUUCGAAAGUACUCCGAGUAGUGAUACUUACGAAAUCUCUAGGUGAAAAUUUUUUUUUUUAAAUACUACUAGUGUAUUGGAGUAUUUAUAAAAAAUUUUCAAUACAAUAAAAUUUUUCUUUUUUUCUUAUAAAAUAAUAAAUAAAAACUAAUUAAUAAAUUAAGAAUAGGUAAUAAAAAAUGAGAAAAGGAAAAUUUUAUCCAUUGAUAGGAUUCUAAAAGUAUUCCGAGUAUAGAUGCUUUAAAAAAAAUCUCUAUGUGAGAAGAUUUUUUAAAUGUUAUCAGUAUAUUGAAAUAUUUAUAGAGAAUCUUCAAUACAAUAAAAAUUUCUCUCUUUUUAUUUUUUAAUUGAAAAUAAUAAUAAAUAUUAAUAAAAAUUAAUAAAAUUUUUGAAUAAAAAAUAUAAAUGCGUGCAUCAACAUGCUAGCAUUCGCAUUGCAUGCACGAUAUAAAGUUUUCUUUUUGAAAAAUAAAUUCAAGUGUCUGAGGAUAAGAUUCUAAUGUAUUUCGAAAAGCAAUGCCUAAAAAAUCUUUAGGUAAGAAAGAGUUCUUUUAAUGUUACCAACAUAUUGGAACAUUUUAAGAAUUAUUUCAAUAAAAAGAUUCUAAUUUAUUUUAAUUGAAUAAAAUUUGAAUAAUAAACUUUUUAAAAAAAUUUCUAAUAAAUGAAAAAGUCAAGAAAAUUAUUUUUGCAAACACCGAAAAUAAAACUAUUUUUUUAUCAAAAUCAAAGGAUAACACGUAGUUAAUUGGUACUGUUAUAAACAGGCGCUGUGGGGGUGCUAAUCAUUUCUCAUGCGUAACUGACUCCUGAAUCCAAACUGUUUCGCAGAUCAUAAAAUUACUCUUUUAAUAAAUUUUAAUUAAUCUUAAAAUUUUAUUAGAAUGAUAAAUUUUAAAAAGUGAUCAAUCGCACCUAACAAAAAAAAUGGUGGCGACUUCGUUUUUCGUUCUUUUAUUUUCGUUUUCAAAUUCGUCAAGUGAUUCCAAAACUAUUACGACAAUUAGUGCUAUUUUUAUUGAAUUGUUUUUGUCUUAAAUUUUGUAUUUCCUCACAUGAUAUACAUAGUUAUUGAAUUAAUUCACAAAUGAUCUAUUAAUUCAUGAGUGAGUAAAUUAAUUCACAAAUGAAAUAUUAUAAUUAUAAUUAAAAUAAUAAUUAUAUGCUAUAUUAGGGAAUACAAAUAUUUAUUGGGUAACUUGGCUGUCCAUAUGGGCCACAAAUUUCUAGCCUACUUUGACAAGAACAGGAUGAAUUAUCAUUGAUGUCAUUUUUUUCUAUUGUAAUUAAGAAUGUUUUCCUAAUUUCAACUAAAAAAAUUGCAGGCCAUGUCUUUGUAAUUUUGUUUCAAUGCAUACUUAAUUAAAUUUUGGAGGGGAAUGUAGAAAUCAAAAUAAUUUUGAAUAGAUGUCUAAAUUUGGACCUAAUUAACCAUUGCAAGGUUUUUCAAAAAAAAUACAUCUUGGUUUUUUUUUUUUUAAUUUUUUGGAGUAUCUUUAACAUCGAAAGCGAUGUAAUGAUUAUAUAAUUAUAUUUAAAUAAUAAAUAAUUUCAUAAUCGUACAUGAGUGAUUUUAAAUUAUUAAUAAUAAUUAAAUAUUCUUUUAUAUGAUAAUCUAAUUGUCAUUAAACAAAAAGAAAAUUUUAUCAUCAAAGAGAGAAUGAUUUUCAAAAUCAUUUUAAGAUAAAUUUAUUUUUGAAUUGGUAUCCAUCAAAAAAUGUUUCUCUGUAAAUUUUUUUGAAAAACAAACUUUCACUUUUUAAAUCAUUUUAUACAAGACAAUUUAUAAGACUUUAAAUAUGAACAUGCUAAUAAUUUUGAAUUAUACUCAUCAGAACUUAUUUAUACUUUAUAAUUUUUUUUAAAGAGUAUAAAAGUCCUUGAACUAUAAUUAAAAAAUCAUUCCAACCUUUAUUUUUUAUUAUAAUCAAUUAAUUCUUUCAACAUUUAUUUGCAUUUAAUUGAAUUUUAUUUGGAUAAAAAAGUUUUAUUAAUUUUUUUUUGUUAACUAAAAUAAAAUUUCACGUGAAAUUUAUAAAAUAGAUGAAAAGUUAUUACAAAACAUAAUUAUUAUAUUUAAAAAUUAAAUAAAAUAAUUUUUUCUCUAUUUUCUUUGUUUUUUUCUCUCUAAAAUUUUCAUAAAAAAAUUAAUUGAUUAUAAUUCAAAAAUUAAUUAUUUAAAUUUUAUUGCGUAAUUAGAUUUUAUAAAUUUAAAAAUUCAAUUUUUAACUGAGUCAGUAAUAAGAUUUAGUUCAAAGUUAAUCCCGGCUGAUAUUUAGGAUUUCUGUCAGCACCUUUACUUGGUGUGGAUGUUCCGUAAAGAAGCGUGGGGGUAUGGCUGUAUAUGUCAAGCAUCUUUGGUUUUGGGUAUGCAGAGUAUUGGUUUUAGUGAUAGGGUUUUUUAUGCCUCUGGAUGUUUUGGGAAUUGGAAAUGUUCUUUUGUUGUUUGGUUGAAAGAUAUAAUGGUGGAGCUCUUGUUUGUGCUUUUUGAAUAGUACUAUGAGUUUGAACUAUUGAAUGGUACUAUAAGUUUGAACUAUAUUAAAGUAUCUUCUUUUCCUUCUUGGGUGGGGUUCAAUCUGAGGCCGAAUCCUACCUCUCUGACUUAAUUAUAAGCCGGGAAUAUUAGAGUAUAACCUAGUUUUUCGAAUUCCAUCAGGAUUCAAGAUACAUUAUUUGGUAAAUUUUAUAGGCAUCAUCCACAGUUUUCUACCUAAAAUCCUUCUUGCAAUCCACUGUUUCUACUGUAAAGGAUGAUUUCCAAGGGCCAUUAUCAGAUUGCCAGAAUUUGAUUCCUGGCAAAUGAAGGACUAAAGGAGACAAACUUUUGUGGAUGGGUAUUUAGCUACAGGAAAAUUUUGACAUGACCAUACAACAUUGCUACUUUUUUUUUAUAUAUCUUCAACAAUGAAACAGCUAAUAUAAUGUUAAAUCUCCUUUUCUGGGGCUUUUUUGGAUGAAUGUAUAUUCUUAUUGUUUCCUCUCAAAACCCUGCAUUAUUAUUUUUCUUUUAUUAUUAAAAAUCUGAAUCUGUUUUGCCUCGUGAUAUUUGAUUGUUUGUCCUGUGUAGAGACGGAUGCGGGAGUGGUUGACGUUGCUUCUUUAAGUGAUGAAGAAUGGAAAAUGAAGCUUACACCUGAACAAUUUUACAUUACUCGACAACAAGGGACUGAGAGAGCUUUCACUCAGUAUGUUCUGUUCAUAGAAACUGUACUGCUUUUCCAGGUUCAACUUCUGAAAAUGCCUUUUUCUUUGUAAGAUAAUGGUUUUAACUAUUUUCUAAGGAUUCCACUAGUCUGGGAGAUUACAGUUUCUGUGUAUUUUCUUUGCCGAGCUAUAAGAAUUUCUUUCUAGUACUGAUCUACUUGACUGCCCUUUUUUUGGUCUCCUGAAGGUCGUUUUUAGUUGUCCCACCUAUGCAGGUGUCCUAAUUUAAAUACAACAUGUACGUCAGAAUCUAAUUUCUCCUACUUUUCUCUCAUUUGAUGAAUGACUUCAACCUUUUAAUGAUGUUAAUCCUUCUUUUCUCCCUACAAAGUGGGUGGCAAACACUAGUAGAUUGUGCAGACACAUGCAUGUGAGCAUUUUUCCUAUUAUCGGCGCAAAUUAAACGGAGUACCAGAGAGUUUGUUGCUAAAUUUCAUCUUUUUUGAAUAGGAAGAUUACAUGGUAUGUACUUGAGCUGACUUGGUUAUUAAGCUGCUUUUGACGUCACUGGUGAUUUAUUCUUUAGAAAGAAAUUGAGGAAUUCAGACUUCAUAAAAUAAUCGUGCAUGAGCCACCUCCCAAUUUCUGUUCAUACUUUAUUGCGGUUUAGUUGGUUAUUACUUAUGAUAUUUACUUUUUAGUUAGAGUUUUAAAGUAAAAACACACAAUAUUAAUCAAAAUCAUGUUUCAUCAAAACAAAAUGGUAAGAGAUAAAUCCAAUUCAAAUGUAAUAAAUUCAUACAAGAGCAAAGUCAGGCAUUUUAUUAUCCAUGAAAGUUGAAUUUUUAUUUUUUAUGCCUUCAGUAAAUUGUUUGCUUUUGUAUCCAACACAUUCUUUGGACAUUUUGGUUCUGGAAGCAAAAAUUAAGGACCAAAAGUGAUGGUGAAAGGAGCCAAAUUUGUUUUUGGCCUUCCAAAAGUUCUCUUUUAGAAAGGGAGCUAUUUACAAUGCAAUUCUGAGGAUAUCAUCUGCUGUCAUGUAGCUGUGAACAUAUAGUCAUUGUUUAAAUCGGCCUCUGAACUCAAAAUUGUUCAAUUCGGUAUCUAAACCUUAAAAAUAGUGUGCAUUUUAGUCGGAUAACUGAUAGGAUUGAUCAACUUGCUAAGUAGAUAGAUGGGUUUGUUACCUAUAGAACAGUAAAAAGUUGUAUUUUAUUAAACACUAUAUGUAAGCAUUUUGAUGGCAUGUAACGCCUAUGUGGACUGGAAACUUGCCUGGAUUAUAACACAUAUUUCACAUGCCUGAUGAAUAUAUUCAUGCAAUAAAAUAUCUGCUUGAGAUCCAUUUUAUUGCGAGCUGCAACGUACUACCUGACACCUUGUGUGUAAUUUCUUUUUUUUUUUUUCUCCAAAAAGUAUGACUAGCUCUUCUAUAUAUAAUUAAGAGAAACACCAGUCAGUGCUGUUAGAAAUUCUGCUAUACCCUUUGUGCAUAUAACCACAUUGCUCAGAAUUUCAAAAUGUAGGUACCAGAUGGAAUAUUUUCUUUUUUUAGUAUUAAGGAUCAUGUUACUUGUUGAUUAUUAGUGUAGGGGUCAUUUAUAGCUUCAUUUCUUUUGUUAUAACAUAAAAACUUACCACCAAUUCCUGUUGGUCAAAGUGGCAAGGAGCUCGGUUCCUUUAAGUAAAAUCUCAGUUUUGAAUCUUGUGAAUAGAGAAAACAGGUUUAGGAGACUUUGCCUCUUUUAUAGGGUCCAACUUAGCUCGACUUCAAAUUAAUCGGAGUUCAAAAUGACUACUUGACACCGAGAGGUCCCAAACCGAAAAAAAAAAAAAACAUGAAAACCUACCUGUAUGGUGGCUGUAAAAUGUCAAUAAAUUACCUAAAUCCUGCCGAGUCCCAAUCUAAUUAACCUGCACUAUCAACACUUGGUAUGGAACAUGUAAAAAUCAUUUAGCUCCAUUUGAUUAGUGCUUUUGUUUUUUUACUUUUUGCUAUUUGUCUUUUAUUUUUUGCUUUUUCACUUUGUAUUGAAGAAAACAAAAAGCAAACAACAAAAGCAUAAAUCAAAUGGAGCCUUAAAUUGGAGGUGCUAAAAUACUUGGUGGAUGUAAAAUGAUUGUUUUCAAUCUGUAUCUGCAUUGAGCUAAAUGCUAUUGAUAUGAUCUUCAUUCUAAGUUAUUAUGUUUGCACCUUUUUAAUGUGCAGAGAAUACUGGAACAUAAAAACACCCGGAACUUAUCAUUGCAGAUGCUGUGACAGGCCUCUUUUUGAGUAAGUCUUUUGAUUUUGUUAGGAAUUUCCAAGAACUAAAAUCAAUUGAAGCUACAACAUUCGAAACAUUUAUCAAUACGUGAUCCUCUCCUCCAGAUCAUUGACUAAAUUUGACAAAACUGUUGGCCUUCAUAUUAUCAGCCUAUAGGAAACAAUGUGAAGUCAAAAUUAGAUCUGUCAAUAAUUUUUAUGCCUAGUGAAGAAGUUCUGUGUGCUGCUAGCAAUGCUCAUCUAGGCCAUGUCUUUGAUGAUGGUCCUCCACCUACAGGAAAGCGUUACUGCAUCAAUAGGUAAAACAUUUUCUUUUAAUGCUGGGUUGUAUCUAAUUUUAUGCAAUUUAUUCUUUAUGGACUUCCUUUGAACUAUGGUUAUUUUGCAGCACUUCGCUAAAACUGAAACCCAUGUAAGAAAUAGUACUAAGCUUGCAGUUGCAAAGCACAGAUGAGACACUUGUGAUUGCGAAAAACGAAAUAAUAUUUUCACUGACUUUGGUGUAUCAUGCUCAAUUAAUUAGGUGUGAUAGCAAAUCCUUGUAAUUUUGUAGUAUUCAUGUAAGCCUGAUGGCGCAAGGGCAUGAUAAAAUCCUUGCAACAAGUUGUUGGCAGUAUAAAACCCUUUAAAAAUACAUAUGAAGUUGUAUAAAACAAGUUAAAGAUUAUUUUAUUUUGUUAAUAUCUUGAAGAUAAAACAUCUUGUUCAAGGUUGAUCCAAGUAAUAUAUAAGAAAAAAUUUAUAAUUAAUAACACAUUAAACUAAAUUUAUUUGAAAAAAAUAUUUUAGCUAACUUUAAUCAUUGCUUAUAUCAAACUUUUAGAAAUGAAAUGUUACAUGAUAUAAACGAAAGGUUACACACAAAAAAGAGAGAUUUGUUGAUGAGUACAAUAAAAACAUUUUCUAAUAAAAUUUUACUAACGAAUGUUUUUAUAUAUUUAUAAAAUUAAUUAACAUAUUUUUUAUAAUUUUUAUAAUAAUUAUGGUAAUAAUUUUAAUGUAUCUAAAAAAUUAUUUUCGUAACAUGAGAAUAUUAAAGAAUGCCCUAGACAAUGGUUUAGCAAAAUUUUAAUUGAAAUAAUUUCAAAGAAUGUUUUAAGCUGAGAUUGGGAUGAUUAAAUAUAAAGUACAAAUAGAUAAAACUUUAAAAAAAUUUUAAGGUUAAAAUAAUAAAAAGUUCAUAAAUUUUAUUCCUUUAUUUAAAUAAAUUUUUUUAUUUUUAUUGAACUUAAAUUAUUUUUUAUUUUUUAUUUUACAUUCAAAUAAACUUUUAAAUUUUAAUUUUAUCUAAAUAAAUAUUUAUCAUCUAAUUUGUAUUUAAAUAUAUUAUUUAAAUAUAAUAAAAAUAUAAAAUUUUAUCUAAAUAAAAUAAUAAAAUUCGAAAAAUUUUUAAAUAUUUUAGUCAAAAUUUAACUGACAUAUAUUAUUAUCAUAAUAUUUUUUUAGUAGCAAAUUUAUUGGGACCAAAAGAAAAAAUUAAAUAAAAGAAAAAAAAUCAAAUGCAAAACGUAAUAUGUGAGCAAAAUCUUUGUGUAUGUUUGAUGAUAACGGCAACUUCGUUUCUUAUCAGAAAAGAAGUGUCAGUAAUACAUAUUUGGAAAAAUGAAACAGUAACUUUUAUAAAUCCUGUGAUGUGAAAUAUUUUAUAUCUAUAAAUACACUUUGACAAAUUUCAGACAUUCAAAACCAAAACAAAACUAAGUUUUUUUUUUUUUUUAAGUUUUGAGUUAGUUUUAAUCUUUGAUUGUUUAGAUUAUCAAAAUGUCAGAAAAAGUCAUUUUGUUGGAUUUCUGGCCAAGUCCAUUUGGAAUGAGAAUGAGGAUUGCUUUGGCUGAGAAAGGAAUAAAGUAUGAGUCAACGGAAGAAGAUUUGAGGAACAAGAGUGAUUUGCUUUUGCAGAUGAAUUCUGUUCACAAAAAAAUCUCUGUUCUUAUCCAUGGUAAACCUAUUUGUGAGUCAUUCAUCCAGAUUCAGUAUAUUGAUGAGGUUUGGUGUCAUAAAUCUUCUUUGCUUCCUUCUGAUUCUUACCAGAGAGCUAUGCUAGAUUCUGGGCUGAUUUUGUUGACAAGGUUGCAUACAGGCAUGCAAAUAUGAAUAAUGCCUAAUUCGUUACCAAGGCAUCUUUUCUAGGUCCAGAAAGACCUCUUUAUUGACAAAGGAGCCAUAAACUUAAGUCUUUGGUUUCCAAACUAGAUAAUCUUUCUGUAUUGAGCUAUUAAUGUGAUGCCAUCAACCUGGCUUUUGGUCCUUGUUCUUGUUGCCCUGGUAACACCCAACUCCCGCCUUAAACUCAAAGCCAGACUGAACCUCGACAAACAGAACCACAGAAACUAAAAGAGACAGAUAAACUAGCAGAGCCCCCACACCAACCCUUCAAAUCAUCCAAACGCCCUCCAAUAUCAAGCACUCUGCUGGAAUAAAUUUGGAUGUUGUUUGUUGAUGGCUCUGGUGUAGGAAUUCUAUGUAUUAAAAUUGGUUUAUUAGAGCAAUUAAGAUGGCUAUCCCAUGCACCUCAUUUAAAGUUAUAAAAGUAUUAUUAGUGUGCUAGUAAUUGGUUCCACUAUUACUCCAAGGAACAUGAUAGUAAUUAUAAUGUGCAAAAUAACGGAAUGAGCUCAGUUGCAAAUAAAAUGCAAAUUUUAAGCGCUAAAGUGCCUCAUUUUCACAGACCUUGAACACUUUGCUUUCCAAAUCAAGUAAUUGAGGGUGACUUUGUGAAGAAUAGAUCUUAAUCUUAGUCUCCAAGUCUUCUUUCAUGGCUGAACUGACUGCUCUGUUGUUCCUGACGAGCCCGUUUAUCUAUAAACAAAUUUUACUAGGGCAAGUCCAUGCGUGCUUUGAUUGAUUUGGUCAGACUUUGAAUUUUGGGGGUUUUAUAUAUAUAUAUAUAUAUAUAUAUAUAUAAACAGUGUACUCAUUAAGCAUUAACUGCUAAUGCUGGUAUGAUAACUUUAAUCAAUAGGAUGAUUUGAUUUGAGAUACUUUGUGUUUCAUUUUUUUUUUUUUUAAUUUUGAUAAUUAGAUGCAUAAUCAAGUCAAGUUGUGGUGAAUAUUAUUUUUUCGUAUAAUUGAUAUUGAAUCAAGCAGAAACAGAUAACAUUCAUUCAUUUUCAUAAAUCUUCUCACCUGUAUAGACAUUUUUCUAGAUAAUAUAUAACAUAUUUUGAAUAAUUAUUGUUUAGAUAGUAUAUAAGAUGUUUUGCCUAAAUUAUUGUUUCAUAAAUAUGCAGAUGCCUGACAUUGGGAGGAAAAUAUGGGCAACUAAGGGAGAAGAACAGGCAAAUGCAAAGAAAGAAUUUAUUAAGUGUCUAAAGCUGGUGGAAGGAGAGCUUGGAGACAAGCCUUACUUUGGCGGAGAAAAUCUUGGUUAUGUA
Molecule: long non-coding RNA, 72736 nt
Filed under: Durio zibethinus
Lineage: Eukaryota; Viridiplantae; Streptophyta; Magnoliopsida; Malvales; Malvaceae
Description: long non-coding RNA (DZIB_LNC001341)
Source: RNAcentral